RNAcentral lists this long non-coding RNA (87083 nucleotides) under Capsicum annuum. Its description in RNAcentral is "long non-coding RNA (CANN_LNC001581)". The record is from RNAcentral. Lineage: Eukaryota; Viridiplantae; Streptophyta; Magnoliopsida; Solanales; Solanaceae.
GCUCUUCCAGUUUCCUUGAUCCCGAUCCUUAUAUCCAACCUUGUCAUAAUAAGUCCGACCUUGAUUUCCUUAGAUAUUUCCUUGGAAACCCUCCUGGUUAUUCAAAUAGUUUGCCUCUUCUUCCAAAUUAGAGUCUUUUUACCUUGGAAUACAACCGCUUUCACCUUUUUAGUCUUUACAAAUAAUAAGUGCUGGUCAGUAAAUCCUUCUAUGUCUUCUAGAGUGCCAUGUCUUGAUCAUGUUCUUUUUUUCUUACGUUGUUCUAUAGUUAUGCCAACAGACAUAGUAGAGCUUUCUACCAUAAAAUCCCUGGUAUGCCAAGCUCUACUUUAUUUGGUCAUCCAAUCUAGUAUCUCAGAGGCCUCUUAAAAAGUGAGAUCCAAAAUGAUCCCCUUGUAGCAUUAUCAACAACUACCUUUGUAAUAGAGUUCAAACCCCGAUAAAGAGUCUUCAUCGGGUGAAUAUCUAUCAUAUUAUGGUUCGAACACUGCAUCAGCUUCUUGUUGAACCUCUUCUAUGCCUCAUGAAGAGCUUUGGUUGGGAGCUGUCUAAAGUUACUAAUCUUAUCCCUCAACUGUACCCUCCUGGAAGGCGGAAAGAACCUUUCUAGGAAAGCCUCUUUCAAUUGCCUCUAGACAGUUAUAGAAUCAGGCAUCAACUUAUUAAGCCACAAUGUUGCUUUCCUAAACAGAGACAAUGGAAAUAAACUCAGGUGGAUGGCAUUCUAUCCCACUCCUGGGUUAUCAAAGGACUUGCAAAUAGUGACAAAGUUCACUAAAUGCAUAUUAGGAUUAUUUCCCAAUAGUCCACCGAACAACCCUUUAGAUGGAGGAAUUAAAUUAUUGUACUGGUAAUAUUGAACUUUGCUCCUGGUGAUAAAGGUGCAGGAAUAAUAGCUCCAAUAUCACCAGCUCCAUCUAUUUUAUCACCAUCGUCAUUUUGAUCAUACUGCACAAGUUGGUGAUCCAGUCUUACUUAGAACGGACGAUUUCUAUUCACAUUUCGGUUCACCAGUGUAGCUAUAUUCUCUGCGCGCCUUGGGUUGGCAGGUUUUAGAAAUUCCUUGUCUCCCAGUUCCUCAUCAUCCGUAUUUGGUACCCAACCUGGGUUAUCUACAUUCUAUUGAUUUACUUGAGCCCUAGCCAAGACGGCUAAUCUUUCUACUUUUUAUGGGUAUGCCAUUCUACCGAUCAACUGACGUUCCAGAUGUACUGGUAAUAAUGGUUCAUCUAAACUCCGUGUACUUUCCAUACACACUAACUAAUGCAAAGGAAAAAAACAACAAAUAAAAGUAAAAUUAGAAAACCUGACUAACUGUCAAUUAGCACACAUAAACUUAAUUGAAAACCGCAUUCCCCAUCAAUGGUGCCAAAAUUUGAUACGCCCAAAUUAUAAAUCUCUUACGAGAGAGUAGGCGGUCGUUCUCAAAUAUAUAACCCAACUAGAUUGGGUUUGAAUCCCACAGGGAAUAUGGUGUUAAAUUAAGUUAAUCAUGAGCCAAUCAACUAAUAGUUCAUAGUUUUUGAUAAAUGGGUUUUUUUAGAUUAAAAUGGUAGUUAUUUCUCACUUCAAGUUUAUCACUUGUUACCAAUAUUUCAGUGUUUCAAGUUAAUAUUAUGGAAGAAACCAGAACUGUGUUCACUAUAGGUGUUGGUGCUUGACAUACACUAGUAGAGAUUUAAGAUUUUUGUUACAAAUAGGAGUAAUAGAUCAUCUGUAUUGGAGCAAUGCCUAAAUAUCUCUCAACCUAUUUAGGCAUUCAAUUACCUAAUCCUUUCAAACUUAGGGAAUUCAUAUUAAUGAACCAAAUUAUAUCAAGUUAAUUAACCUUUUUACAGCGUUAAUUAUUAAAUAGAAGUUUAAUGAUUCCAAGUCCCUAUAGAUAAUUAACUUCCAACUAGAUUUGAUUUCUUAUUUCAAGCAAAUCACUGGUUAGGCAUAAUCUAUCAUUUGCAACCAAUAGAUAAUGUGUACAACAGAGGAAUUAUCCAGAAGUCCCUAAAAUCUCACGAAUCUUGACCCACUAGUGACAUUACAAGACCAAACCCAUAGAUCCCACAAUUCGGGUUAAGGAAACUAGCUACUCAUGAUGUAAAAAGUAACAGUACAAAUUGCAUUCAUAAUUCUAUGGAUGAUAACUUACAGACUAAUGAUUAGCAAUAGUUGUUUCUCCUUCACAAUCACAGUAGAAAUCCCCAAAAAAAUAUAAUAAUAAUCUUCCAAUAAGGAAUUGUAAUGUUCCAACUAACAACUGGAGAGAAAACUAAAUUAGUUGUGAAGUUUCUGAUGCCCUAGAAAAACCUACUCUCUGCCUUAAAUACUCAGCCUAAUUUUAGAAAUAAAUCACAUAGUAUAGUUUUUUUCCUUGCAUAGGUAAUGACAACAUGUGAUGGCUUAUCAGGAUGGUGAUGAAUUAUCAGACAUGUCGUCAACUCCUCAUCCUAUUUCACAUAUUAUUGCCUUUAGCUGACGAAAAUACCUGAUGACUUAUCAGGAUGUUGACGAUAUAUCAGACAAUAUUGUCAACUCUUCACUACAACUCCUACACACUGCCUUAGGCCGAUGAUAUUCCUGACGGCUAUUCAUAAAGUUGACGACUUAUUAGAUAAGUCAUCAAUUGUACUAUCAUGUUUGCUUACUCAAAAUCUAUAUCUUUUUACUCAGUUGUCAUUGGUUUUUAUACAUCUUAGCUCACCUGCACUAUCACAGAGAAAACAAUCAAAAACCAUAAAAUUUUCUUAAGAAUUUACCAUUAUUAUGAGUUAAAAGCCUUAAAUGUGCUAGCAUUAAGCUUGCACAUCAGUUAAUAAAUUUCUUCAAGUUUUUCCUUAUGAUCUUCCUUGUAUCCCUCUCGAUAGGGAGAUUGAUUUUAGGAUUGACCUUAUUAUGGACACUUAUCCUAUCUCUAUCCCUCCUUAUAAUAUAGUUCUAUCUAAGUUGAAUGAGCUUAAGGAGCAUUUUAAAGACCACUUUUGACAAGGGUUUUAUCCAUCCUAGUAUGUCUCUGGAGGGUGCUCCUAUUUUAUUUGUGCAUAAGAAUGAUGGUUCCCUUUGGGUGUGUAUCGAUUACCAUCAGUUGAAUAAGGUUACAGUGAAAAAUAAGUAUCCUCUUCCUUGGAUUAAUGAUUUGCUUGACCAGUUUUAGGGUGCUAGAUGUUUCUCUAAAAUUAUUCUUUGUUUGGGUUAUCAUCAUCUUCUAAGACUACUUUCCAAAUCUGAUAAGUUCACUACGAGUUCAUAUUCAUGCUAUUUGGUCUGACAAAUGCCUCGACAAUAUUUAUGGAUCUCAUGAAUUAGGUGUUCUAUUAGUUCUUAGACUUGUUCAUCAUAGUGUUCAUUGAUGAUAUUCUAGUGCACUCCAGGAGUAAGGCGGAUCACGCCGACUAUCUCUGUAUUAUUUUGUAGACCUUGAAAGAUCAGCAUUGGUAUGCUAAGUUUUUGAAGUGCGAGUUCUGGUUGAAAGUUGUGACUUUCUGGGUUGUGUCAUUUCGAGUAAAGGGAUCAUGGUGGAUUCACAAAAAGUUGUAGUGGUUAAGAAGUGGCCUAGGACCAUGACUCUAACCGAUAUUUGGAGCCUUUUGGGUUUAGCCAGUUACUAUAGGAGAUUUGUAGAGAAUUUCUCAACUAUAGCUUCCCUACUGACUAAGUUGACACAAAAUGGUGAAGUUCUUGUGGUCUAAUGUUUGUCAGUGUAGUUUUUGAAAAAGUAGAAAGAUAAGUUGACUUCAACUCUAAUUUUGACCUUACCAAAAGGUAUUGAUGGAUUCAUGGUUUAUUGCGAUGUAUCCCAUAAGGUACUUGGUUUUGUGUUGAUGCAUCAUGGUAAGGUGGUGGCCUAUGCUUCUAGGCAGUUGAAAGUUCAUGAGAGGAAUUAUCCAGCUCAUAACUUGGAGUUGUUGGUUUUGGUGUUUGUAUUAAAGAUUUGGCGUCACUAUUUGUAUGGAUUCCAUGUAGAUAUCUUUUCUAAUUAUACAAGCCUGCAAUAUGUAUUGACCCAGAAAGAGUUGAAUCUCAGGCAAAAGAGAUGGCUUGAGUUGUUAAAAGACUACGACAUGAGUCUUCAUUACCACCCAAGUAAAACUAAUGUGGUUGUUGAUACUCUUAGUAGGUUAUCCAUGAGAAGUCUAGAUCAUGUGGAUGAGGAUAAAUGGGAAUUGGUAAAAGAUAUUCAACAUUUGGCUAACCUUGGAGUUCGUCUCUUGGACUUUGAGAAUAGGGGUAUAUUUGUACAAAAGGUGGAAUAUUCCUCUCUUCAAACUGAAAUAAAGGAGAAGAAGAUAUUGGAUCCUGUCUUAAUAAAGAAAGGUUGUAGCUUUUGAGAUUUGUGAUGAUGGUAUCUUAAGGUACCAUGGCAGAUUAUAUGUUCCUGAUGUAGAUAGGUUGCGAGAUGGGAUCUUGGCUGAGGUUUAUGAACUGCAUUAUGUCAUUCAUCCUGGUUUGGCAAAGAUGUAUCAUUCUCUUAAGGAGAUUUAUUAGUGGAAUAAUAUGAAGUGAGAUGUUACCAGUUUUGUGGCUAGAUGUAUGGUGUGUCAACAAGUGAAGGUUGAGUAUUUUUUUGCCGAAGGGUUGUAUCAAGAAACUGAGUUAUCUGUGUGGAAGUGGGAAGUGAUUAAUAUAGAUUUCAUUACCUAUCUUCCUCAGUCUCGAAAUUAGUUUGAUUUGAUUUGGGUCAUCGUGGAUAGAAUGACUAAGUCUGCUCACUUCUUGCCAGUAAGAAAAAAAUUUUCGACAAAAGACUAUGCAAAUUUAUUCCUAUAAGAGAUUCUAAAGUUGCAUGGGGCUCUUGUUUCUAUCAUUUUAUAUCAUGGUGCUCAAUUCUUAUCACAGUUUUGAUAUUCAUUUUAGAGAGGUUUAGGAACUAAGGUGAGCCUUAACACUGCUUUCCACCCGCAGUCGAAUGGGAAAGCAUAAAGGACUAUUUAAACACUGAAAGACAUACUUAGAUCUUCUGUGAUUGACUAUAGUAGUAUUUGGGCUGAUCAUUUGCCUCUUAUAGAGUUAACAUAUAAUAAUAGAUACCACUCUAGUAUUGGUAUGGCUCUUUUUAAGGCCUUUUAUAGUAGGAGGUAUAGGUAUCCUAUCGGGUGUUUGUAGUUGGUAAGGCUGAGAUGUUUGGCCCAUAUUUAGUUUACCAAGAAAAAGAGAAGGUAAAGGUGAUUUGGAAUAGGCUUAAAGCCACCCAAAGUCAUAAAAAUUCCUAUGCAAAUGUGAGGCUAAGGGAGUUAGAGUUUAGUAUUGGUGAUUGGGGGUUCUUAAAAGUAUCCCCCAUAAAGGAAGUGAUGUGGUUUGGUAAGAAGAGGAAGCGUAGCCCUUGAUAUAUUGGUCAGUACUUGGUGUUGAAGAGGGUUGGUAAUGCUGCGUAUGAAUUAGAGUUGUCCUCUUGUUUGUACUUCAUUUAUCCAAUGUUUUAUGUUUUGAUGUUGGAAAAGUGUGUGGAUCAUUCUUCGAUGGUUGUUUCUUUGGAUGAGGUAGGUAUUUUGGAUUUCUUAUCUUAUGAUGAAGACCCAUUUAAAAUUUAGGAUUGGCAAGUUUGUUGGUUACAGACAAAGGACGUAGCUUCGAUAAAGGUUCUAUGGAGGAACCAUAAGGUUGAAGAGGCUACUUGAGAAGACCUUAUGCUCUGAAUAAUCAUGCUUGAGGUAUGUGUAUUUCUUAAUAUCUUCAUUUUUGACUUUGUUAAAGGAAAAAGUGAUUUCUUUAGCAUCUUUGUUUUCUGUCUUUGUUAAAGGUAAGAGUAAAGGUAUGUGGAGUCAAUUAGUGCUUAUAAAUUCCUUUUCCUAUCAUUCGAAGACGAAUGAUCCAAGUGGGGGAGAAUUAAAAUACCCCAGAUUUUUGGCCCUUUGAAAUAUCUUGAGCUCUGAGCUUACUGCCUUGGUAAUGACUUGUCUAAUAAGUCGUGGGGUAUCCUGACGAGUCAUUGGGACAAGUCGUAACCAUACCAGUAAGUUUGUGGCUAGAUUCUGCAUUGACUAUAAGUGGCUCACUAAGAGCCAUAAAGAUAUGUUAUAAGUCGUUAGGUGUAAUCAUAGGAUGUCUAGUGUAAGUCCUAAAUUGGGUUCUGUAUUGACUGUGACUAUACCUUACGAGUCGUAAGAUCCCAUUACAAGUGGUGCCAUUGAGUCGUAAGGAUAAUAUUGUAGGAUUCCUUGGUGGUAUUGCCUUAGUUACAACUUGAGGUAAUGAGUCAUAAGCAGUGGCUGCAAGUCAAGGGUUGACUCGUAGUCAAAGGCGACCUUUUUACAACAUUUAAGUUAAUGACAUUCUAGACAUUUCCCCUCUUACCCAACUUGAAACCCAUAUCUUAUAACCCCUUUAGGGUAUCAUUAUCCCUCAUAAAUAUAUCAAAGUAACUUCUUAACACUCUAAAAUUCCUCAAGGCUAAUAACACUUAAGAUUUUAAAGAGGUUGAUAAAAUUAGGUAUUUCAAGGGUGAUUUCUCUCCUUACAUCUUACUAUUACAGGCAUGUGACUCUUCUCUCAUUGUUAAUUUUGUAAAAGCAUAUGUAUUAAAGUGUUGUUCACAUAGAAUUGUUUUGAUUUUGAAAACAAGGAUUGUGUGUUUUGAAUGCUUAUUGUUGAAUAAUGUUUUCCCAUGAUUUAAUUCUAAUUGUUCAUUCUUUAAAAAUGGUUUUGAACAUUAUGGGUGCAUGGGUAUGGUAAAAUAACUAGGGAACUAUAAUUUUCCCAAACUUGUGACUUUUGAAGUGGUAACGAUCCCAAACUAUAGUGUGAAAUUGGCUUAGAGUUAUGAGAAAGGUGGGAAUUUGUAAAUUGAACUAGUUUUGAACUAUUGCAUGAUAUAAAGAGGUAUUUGAAACACAAUAGUAUGAUUUAAUGAACAAAGGCAGUCAUUGUUCCCCCACCUUGUAUUAAUUAACAAAGGGAGUUGUUUUCUCCAAGUUAAUGGAAAUUAAUUUGACAUGAUGUGUUACCUUGAAAGUGUAGUUGGUAUUAUGAUACCUACAAUGUAUGCCUUAAUGUGAAAUAUGGUUCAUGAUUGGGAUUGUAUGAUAAAUAAUUUAAUUGGGCUCUAAUAAGGGUUGUGUAGUUGAGUCAUGAAAGUGAAGGUCCAAGUGACCGACACUGGAAAUCGCAUUUGCUGAUGUGGGGUUCAAAGUGACCAGGGAGGUUUGAUUCCUCUUUAUUGUUAUUAUUUCAUGAUUAGGGAGGUGUGAGUCCCCCUUAAAUCAUUACAUGAUCUGGUGCUUAAAUCACCUUAUUAUAUGUUGGGAGGUUUAAGUCCCCCAUGUGCAUAUAUAUAAGAUUAUUCUCUGGUUUGUUUGGCUACACACAUAGGGGGAUCUACCAAGGGUGAGAGCUAAAGACCAUAUAGCUCUUGGGUACUAUUAUAAAAUAGUUGAGCUAAAAAAUCCAAGCUAAAGUUUUAAAAAUACAUGUUAACCCUUGUUCCCUAUCCAGGCAUGUAAUAUAUAUAUAUAUAUAUAUAUAUAUAUAUAUAUAUAUAUAUGCAUCUGAUCAUAUACAUUGGGUUGAAUGAUGUUAAACUGUUGAUUAUGUCAUUAUGUUAUUAUUAUCCCCAAGUUAAAUGUUAGUGUUCACCCUUCUAACCAUCUUCGAAUGUUGUAUUCCCAUGCGAUGUAAGAAUUGGUCACACUUCUAUGCAUUUUCUCAGUGAUUAGGACUCGGGAUCAUCUCGUGAGUUAACAUUAACGUGAUGAGCUUUCAUACAUCAGAAGUGUAUAUUUUGUGUUUUGUUCCUCUUAUGUCUUAGACUUAUUUUGGCAAUUGUCUAGGGCUUGUCCCGACACUUUAUUUAUAUUCAGUUUUGGAUCAUUUUUUAGAAGGCUUUGUUUGAACUACUAUGAUUAUUGUGCGGUGUCGAUUGGUUAUUUGGAUGGUCGUUGGGGUUAUUCAUAGACAUAUAUUGAUAUUUUCUCAAAUUGUUGCACGCUAUCUUAUUAUAUAUUUAAAAUUUCUCUGACUUUAGAGGGGGGUGAACGCCCUAGGUUUUGGCCCAUGGAAAUUUCUUGAGUUUUGAGACUUCUAUUGAUCAUAUGACUCACCAUAUGAUUCAUGCGGUGUUGGUAUGGGUCAGGUGACCCAACUCCUACGGUGUCCAAUAUUUGGUGGUCAAGUUCUGUUGUGGUUACGACUUGGUGGGUAUUGGUCAUAUGGUUUGGUCAUGGUGUAUUGGGUUGAUAGUUUACAUAAUCUGAAACUUAGUGACUUGACUUGGCUCUGAGUACGAAUGGAUCACUAAGAGUCAUGAGAAUAGGGUACAAGUGGUAUAGUGGAGUUGUAUGUUGUCCAGUGUCCAACCCCUUUGAUUCUGUCUUGGAUAUGACUUAAUGGUACUAGUCAUAUGGUAUGGGUAUGAAUGGGGCAAGGGUAGUCAUAUGGUGGAUAGUAUGUGGAUGUCUAACCUUCUAUUUUGGGUAUGACUGGACGUAUGAUGUAGGUACGAGUGGAGGGGUCCAAUAGUAUCCACCUGUGGAAAUUUUUACAGCUUUAGUUGGGGAUAUUCUGCAUAUUUCCCCUCUUAACCCCUUUUGACCCCAUGACACAAAACACCUUUAGAGGCUUUCAUAACCUAUUAUUGUCAAUCAAACACUCUUAAAUCUCUCUCAAGCUCUCGGUUUAAGAAAAGGCUAGGGUUUCUUCAAGUUGACUAAUUAAGGCUCUCAAGGGAGGUUUCUCUCUAUCUUUCUUGGUUUCUAAGGCAUGCUACUCCUCCCUCAUUAUUAGUUCAACUAAAAGCAUAUUUUAAUGAAUGGUUUUCAAGGUAAUAUUGUGGUAUUGAUUUGGUUUGAAAUAUAUGUUGGGGUUUUGGUUGUUCUUAGUUGGAUAAUGUUUUCCCAUGUUUUUCUUAUAACUUUCAUGUUAUAAUUAUUGUUUGAACAUGUUGUUGAAUGGAAGUGGUCAAUUAAUGCUUGGUUUUUGUUUUGGAAACUAUAUGCCCUUAACAUGUUUGAUAAAAUGCCAAUGAGAAUGAUUUUAUCACAUAGUUUGACUUUUAUUGAAAUCUUUGCAUUGCAUAGAAUGGUAAUGGAACUUAAAUUAGUUUGGUUGGUUUUAAAUUACUUUGGAAAGGCCUUGGUGGCUAUGGUUUUGGUUUAAUAAAAAAUUAUGUGGGGUACAUAGGAAUCCCAUAAGUGUUGGCUAAUGACAUUUCUUAUAAGCUAUAAUCGGUAUGCUGAUACCACUUUAUAAUGCCUUGGUAAUUAAAUUCUAGAAUUGGUGGUUUGAUUUUGUGCUAAAGUUUUUAAUUGGGAAAUAAUGGCGGGUUAUGGUAGCUAACUUUGAAGGUGUGAUUCUGAUGUACGAACACUAAAAACUCAUGUUUGCCGACAUCAGGGUUGGUCAUGGUAACCAUAUAUCUUUGGGGUACACAGGAAUCCCUUAAUUUUAUACUUGUAUAUGUGUAUCAUAGAGGGAGAAGGAUACACAGGAAUCCCCGGCCCCUAUGAUAUCUCUAGUUCAUGCGGCUACACGUACUGGGGACCGUUUAAAGGGUAACGCUGGACUCAUAUAGCUUGUGGGUGGCUUUAGGAUGGAAAAGCUACACAACCCAUGUUAAAGUCUUAAAUGCUUGCUAAAGUCGAUUUUCUUUUCCUACAUGGUAUAUAUAUGUAUGUGGCUGUAUUUAGUUGUUUACUUUGGUUUUGAAUAAUGGCAUUAUUUUAUCCUUAUUCCCGAGUACAUGCUAUCAUUCAUUAUGCUAGCCGUCUUCUGGGGCUAUAUCCCCAUGCGAUGCAGGAACCAUCCAUACUACUCCUCUUGCUCACUGACUUGGAUUCGAGGAUAACUCAGAGUCAGACUGAAGUGGUGAGCUUUUAUACUCUAGAAGACUCAAUUUCAUGCUAUGGAAUUCUUUACUUUGUUUUUGUCUCUUGAACUUUGGUUUUGGCUGUGGUCGGGGGCACGUCCUGACUAGAUGUUCCUUAUUUUUGGAUAAAGGCUUUGUGUGACUAGUAUAGGCAUAGGCGGUGUAGAUAUUUCUAUCAACCUUGGCCUUGGUAUUGAUAUUGGGGUUGACAUCAAUUGGAUGUCUGGUUGGAUACUUGGGUUGUUAUAGUUAUGAACUUUAUAUAACGUUCUUCAAUUAUAAUCAUUUUAUCUGGUUAUAUGUUCAGAAUUCAUCCCACAUAGGGUUCAGGGUGGUUAUAGUUUUGUAUUGGGGGUGGUCUACGAUCCCGAUUAAGAUUGAGGCACCUGACACGACUAGGCCCUAGUUAGGGUCAUGUCAGAUUGGUAUUAGAGCCCUAGGUUCAUAGUUAAUUGGGAGUCCACAAACCCAUGUCAAGUAGAGUCUCUUUUAAGAUGUGUAGUAUGCCACACUCAUAAGAGAGAGGCUACAAGGCAUUUAGGAAUGUUUAUCUUUCUUGUGUUCUAUUUUUGAGAAAUAGAGUCUAAGGUCCUGAAGUCUCCUCUAAUUCCCAUUUGUUCGCUUUUUAGAUCAUGCCUCCUCAAUGAUCUAAAGCUCAAAAACUCCUCUGCCCCACCCAAGGGCAAUUUUUAUGGGACCCAUUCUAUUUAUAGGGUCCAAACCUAGUCUAGGGGUCCAGUUCCUGAUCGUCCUGGAGUUCCACAAGUUUUCUUUAGUCCUUACCGAACUCCUCAGGUUGAAGUGACCAACGCUGAGUUUUAUCAGUUUAUUCAUAUAUUAUUAUAAUUUGUAGCUUCUCAGUCUGAGCAUGGUAUUCCUGUUAAUCCAUCUUCUGAGGCCACAAGGGUUAGCCAGUUCAUAAGGUUGAAUCCUCCAACCUUUAUGGUUGUUAAGGUUGAAGAGGAUCCUCAGGGUUUUCUGGAUGAGAUAAAAAAGAUCUUUCGUGUUAUUCAUGUCACGAAUAUAAAGGGCGUGGACCUUGCCACCAACCAAUUGAAAGAUGUUACGUACCAGUGGUAUGAGGAAUGGGAUUAGGCAAGGGUGACAAUGUUGAGUCAUAUCUACGGAAGGAUUUCCUAAUACUUUUCUAAACUGCUUUUUUCCUCAAGAUUUGAGGGAAGCAAAGGCGGAAGAGUUUAUUAAUAUGAAACAAGGUAAGAUGUCAGUCAAGGAAUAUGUCUUAAAGUUUCACCAGUUAUUGAGAUAUGCUCUGGAGGGAUAGAACAAGGAAGUUUACCUUUGGUUUGUCCCAAGAAUUGAUCUUAGAGAGUAAGGCUACCUUGUUCAACAAUGACAUGGAUAUCUCUAGGUUGGUGGUAUAUAUGCAACAGGUUGAGGAAGAAAUGAAGAAAUAAGCUGAGUUAGGGGAAAGGUAGGGCUAGAAGUUUAAAUUUUCUGAGCAGGGUCGUGGCCAACAGUAGAGUGGCCAAGAUGGUGGAAAAUGGCCAAAGAAGAAGUGGAGAAAUUUUAGGUCUUACUCAACAGCUAGCUCCCUACCCAAAACCAUCAAGGGUAGGUGUUUGUAUGGUGGCGACAACUUUACGGCAUAGGGCACCUAAUCUCAUGAUAGCAAGGCUCAGUGAGCUCUAUCAUAUCCUUCUUAUAGAUUCUAUGGUCUCUUAUAUCAGUGAUUCAGUGAUGAGGGAAGGGACAAGUUCUUCAACUGUGGUUAUUUAGGGCAUAUGCUUAGAAAUUGUCCUGUUGGUAAGGUUGCUUCGGGGGCAAACAAGGUUUCAAUUGCCUCUUCUUUAGCUUUGGCACCAAAGAGUGCACCAUCUGGCUUCAACAUUUGUCAAAAUCGUCUUUAUGAUCUCACUACUCAUCAGGAGUUUGGGGCAUCGCCUGAUAUUGUGAAUGGUAUGUUGGAACUCUUUUCUCGUGAUGUGUACUAUUUAUUUGAUCCGGGGUCCACUCUAUCUUAUGUAACCCCAUUUGUGGCUGUGUAUUUUGAUUUUGGUCCCGAGUGUGUUUCAGACCAUUUUUCUAUUUCUACAGUAGUAGUCGACUCUGUGAUUUCUAAAAAAGUCUAUAGGGGAUGUGUGGUAUCUGUUAGUAGUAAUGAAACUGUGGCGGAUCUAUUUGAAUUAGAUAUAGUGGAUUACAAUGUCAUAUUAGGGAUGGAUUAUUUGCACUCGUGUUAUGUUUCUCUAGAGUAUCGAACAUGUAAAGUUAUCUUUAAAUUUCCUAAUGAGCCAAUUAGCAAGUAGGAGGGUGGUUCCCUAGCUCCUAAGAGGAGGUUCAUAUCAUAUCUUAAGAUCGGAGAUUAAUAUCUAAAGGGUAUGUCUAUUAUCUAGUCUGGGUUAAAGAUUCUAAAUUGGAGGGUCCUUCUUUGUAUUUCUUACCUGUGGUGAAUGAAUUUCUUGAGAUCUUUCCUGAUGAUAUUCCUGGUGUUCCUCGUGACAGGGAGAUUUAGUUUGGGAUUGAUCUUACUUUGGACACUCAUCCAAUUUCUAUUCCUCCAUAUAUAAUGACUCUGAUAGAGUUGAAGAAGCUUAAGGAGCAACUAAAGAAUCUUUUAGGCAAGGGUUUCAUGCAUCCCAGUGUGUCCCCAUAGGGUGCACCGGUGUUAUUCAUGCAUAAUAAGAAUGGUUCCCUUCGAAUGUGCAUUGAUUACCAAUAGUUGAAUAAAGUGGCGGUAAAGAAUAAGUACCCUCUUCUAAGGAUAGAUGUCUUAUUUGAUCAGUUACAGGGUGUUAAGUUUUUCUCUAAGAUUGAUCUUUGAUUUGGGUAUGACCAGUUAAAUAUUAGGAAGUGGAUAUCCCUAAGAUUGCCUUUCGUACUCGUUAUGGGCAUUUUGAGUUUUUGGUUAUGUCUUUUGGGUUGACCAAUGCCUCAGCGAUAUUUAUGGAUUUGAUGAAUAGGGUCUUCCAUUAAUUUUUGGACUUGUUUGUCAUUAUUUUCAUAGAUGAUAUUCUAAUAUACUCUAAGAGUGAGGUGGAUCAUGUUGAUCACCUCUAUGUUGUAUUACAGACCUUGAAAGAGCAAUAGUUGUAUUCCAAAAUUUUGAAACGUGAAUUCUGGUUGAACAUUAUCACUUUUCUAGGGCAUAUCAUUUCUAGCGAAGGGAUCAUGGUCGAUCCACAGAAGGUUGCAGUAGCUACGAAGUGUCCUGGACCCACGACUCUAAUUGAUAUUCCAAGCUUUUUGGGUUUAAAUCGUUACUAUAGGAGGUUUGUGGAGAGUUUUUCCUCUGUAGCUGCCCAUUGACUAGGUUAACUCAGAAGAAGGUGAGGUUCUUGUAGUCUGACGCUUAUGAGGGCAGUUUCAAGAACCUGAAGGAUAAGCUAACUUUGGCUUCGAUUUUGACUUUGCUUGAAGGCAUAAAUGGGUUUGUGGUAUAUUAUGAUGCAUCCCAUGUGGAUCUUGGUUGCAUCUUGAUGUAGCAUGGAAAGGUGAUAGCCUAUACCUCUAGAGAGUUAAAGGUGCAUGAGAUAAAUUAUCUAACUCAUAAUUUGGAUUUGUUAGUUGUGGUCUUCGCAUUGAAAAUCUGGCAUUAUAAUUUGUAUGGAGUGCAUGUGGAUAUCUUUUAUGAUCAUAAGAGCCUAAAAUAUGUGCUUACUCAGAAAGAGCUUAACCUUAGGCAAAGGAUAUGGCUUAAGCUACUCAAGGAUUAUGACAUGAGUCUUCACUACCAUCCAGGUAAAGCUAAUGUAGUUGUUGAUGCUCAUAGCAGGUUAUCCAUAAUGAGUCUAGCUUUUGUGGAUAAGGAAAAGUGGGAAAUGGUGAAAGAUAUUCACCAUUUGGCUAAUCGUGGAGUUUGUUUGAUGGAUGUUGAGGAUGGUGGUAUGUUCAUUCAGAAGGUGGUGUAAUCAUCUCUGGGUGCUAAAAUCAAGGAGAAGCAAGUGUUAGAUCUUAUGUUGAUGAGGAUCAAGGGUGAUGUUGGUGGGCAGAAGAUGAUGGCCUUUGAUAUUAAUGGUGAUGGUACUUUGUAAUACCAAGGGAGAUUAUGUUUUCUCGACGUCGACGAUUUACGAGAAAGGAUCUUAGCUGAGGCGUAUGAGUCGUGCUAUGUUGCUUAUCCUAGUUCAACGAAAAUGUAUCAUGACCUUAAGAUGUAUUACUGGAACAAUAUGAAGCGAGAUGUGGCUAGUUUUAAGAAAAAGUGCAUGGUGUGCCAACAAGUGAAAGUUGAUCAUAGGAGGCCUAGAAGAUUAUAUCAAGAGAUCAAGUUGCCUAUGUAGAGGUAGGAAGUGAUCACUAUGGAUUUCGUUAUCUGUCUUCCUGGUUUUUGGAAUAAGUUUGAUUUGGUUUGGGUCAUCGUGGAUAGGAUGACGAAGUUGGCUCACUUUUUGCCAGUGAGGACUAACUUCUUGGCUUAGGAUUAUUGAAGGUUAUAUCUCUAUGAGAUUAUGAAGUUGCAUGGGGUAUCAUUCUCUAUCAUCUCAAAACAUAAUAAGCAGUUUUUAUCUCACUAUUAGCGGUCAUUUUAGAAAGGUUUGGGGACCAAAGGAGAGUCUUAGUACCACUUUUCACUAGCAGUUGGAUGGGUAAGCAGAAAGGAAUAUUUAGACAUUAGAGGAUAUGCUUUGAGUUUCCGUGAUUGACUAUGGUGGUAGUUGGGUUAAACAUUUGCCUCUUACAGAGUUUGCUUACAAUAAUAGCUACCACUCCAGCAUUGGGAUGGCCCCGUUUGAAGCUUUGUAUGGUAGGAGGUGUACGUCUCUUAUUGGAUGGUUUGAUAUUGGUAAGGCAGAGAUGUUUGGCCCAGAAUUAGUUCACCAAACCAUGUAAAAGGUGAAGGUGAUUUGGGAUAGGCUUAAGGCUGCCCAAAGUCGCCAAAAGUCUUAUACGGAUGUGAGGUAAAGGGAGUUAAGAGUUUGAGGUUGGGGAUAGGAUGUUCUUAAAGGUUUUUCCCAUGAAAGGAGUGAUGUGGCUUAGUAAGAAGGGAAAGCUUUGCUCCUAGUAUGUUGUUUCAUAUUUGGUUUUGAGGAGGGUUGGCAAUGUUGCAUAUGAGUUGGAGUUUCCUUAUAGUUUGAGCUCCAUCCACCUAGUGUUCUGUGUUUCUAUGUUAAGGAAGUGCAUGGGUGAUUCAUCGCAAAUUAUGCUUAUCAAGGAUAUUGGUAUUUUGGAUUCUUUAUCCUAUGAGAAAAUCCUGGUUGAGAUCAUAGAUCGACAGGUUCAUCAGUUGUGGACCAAGAAAGUGGCCUCAGAAAAGGUUUUAUGGAGGAACUACAAGGUUGAAGAGGCUAAUUGGGAAGCUGAAGAGGACAUGAAGCCCAAGUAUCCAUUUCUAUUUUCUGCUUUGGAAAUUCUUGUGGAAGGUAUGUGUUCUUCAUCAUACUUUUGUUUUCUAACUUAGUUAAAGGAAAAAUUAAUUUCUUUACAACUUUGUUAUCUAACUUAGUUAAAGGUUAGAGAUGCUAGGGUGUAAAUUGUGCCUGUAAUACCUUGUUCCAUCAUUCGAGGACGACUGAUCCAAGAUGGGGAGAAUUGAAACACCCUAUGUUUUGGCCCAUGGAAAUUUCCUAAGUUUUUAACCUUCUAUUCAUCGUAUGACUCACCAUACGAGUCGUAUGGUAUUGGUACAGCUCAGGUGACCCAACUCGUAAAGGGUCCAACCGUACCCACCUACGGAAAUUUUUACAGUUUGAGUUGGGAGUAUUCCGGACAUUUACCCACUUUACCCCUUUUGAAACCACGACAUAAAAUACCUUUGAAGGCUUCCUUAACCUAUUAAUUUUAACCAAACACUCUUUAAUCUCUCUCAAAAUCUUGGUUCAAGAAAAGGAUAGGGUUUCUUCAAGGUGACCAAUUAAGGAUCUCAAGGGUGGUUUCUCUCCAUCUUUCUUUGUGUCUAAGGUGUGUUAAUCCUCCCUCAUUGUUUGUUCAACUAAAAGAAUGUUUUAAUGAAUGGUUUUCAUGGUAAUAUUGUGGUAUUGAUUUGGUUUUGAAAUAUAUAUUGGGGGUUUUGGUUGUUCUUGAUUGGAUAAUGUUUUCCCAUGUUUUUCUUAUGAUUUUUCUGUUAUAAUUAUGGUUUGAACAUGUGGUUGCAUGGUAAUUGUCAAUUGAUGCUUGGUUCUGGUUUUGGAAACUAUAUGGCCUUAACAUGUUUGAUAAAAUGCCAAUGAGAAUGAUUUUAUCACAUAGUUUGACUUUUAUUGAAAUCUUUACACUACAUAGUAUGGUAAUGGAACUUAAAUUGGUUUGGUUGGUUUUAAAUGAAUUUGGAAAAUCCUUGGUAUCUAUGGUUUUGGUUUAAUUGGAAAUCAUGUGAGGUACAUGGGAACCCCCUAAGUGUUGGAUAAUGACAUUGCUUGCAAGCUAUAGUCGGUAUGACGAUACCAUUUCCUAAUGCCUUGGUAAUUAAAUUCUGGAAUUGGUGGUUUGAUUAUGUGCUAAAGGUUUUAUUUGGACAAUAAUAGAGGGUUGUGAUAGCUUACCGUGAAGGUGUGAGCCUGAUGGACGGGUAUUAGAAACUCAUGUUUGUCGACAUGAGGAUUGGUCGUGGUGACCAUAUAUGUAACGCCCCAAAUCUAGUACCUGGAAUGCUACACGGUGCUCAUGACCCCGAAAGGCAACAAGCUAACCCAUGGGUGAUAUCUGUGCCAGAACACUGCAUAAUAUACUGUAUAAAUGCGGAAAUAAAGACUGAGAGGCCAUAAGGUUCAAAUAACUGAUAAAAAUAUCUGAGAGUAUGGUAUAUCAAUACCAAAAUGAAAACUUAAAUAAACUGUCUAACAUACUGUAGUCUGGAAGCCUCUAAACUGUCUAAAAACUAUGGAGUUGAUGGGACAUAUCCUCAAAUAACUCCAAACUACUGAAAUAAUAAAGUAAUAAAAUAAUCAUGCUAUCCUCGAAUGAUGAGGGCUCACUGCUAGUCUGGCUGCUGACGUCUGAUCUACUAAGGUUGCUCUAGAGCUCGUACUUCCAAACCUAUGGUACAAAAUACCAUAGCGCAAAUGCAUUAGUACGAUUGAAUGUACUGGUAUGAAAGUGAAGUAGGUUGAAUGCAAAGGGUUUAAAUGCAUGAACAAUGCUAAAUGACUGCAUAACAUGAACGUAUGAAUACAAGCAUGAAUAAGUGACUGUAACUGAAUUCAUGAUGUACUGACUACUGAUUCUGAAUGUUGAUAACAUGAGUUACUGGUGACUGAUAUAACUGAUACUGAGCGACUGUGUCUGACAGUCGAAAUUCUGAUGGAACUAGCUGAGUUUCAUACUGAGCUUUGCGAAUAUAUCUGAUAGUCCUGAGUUUUGUAGAACUAUUUGAGUUCUAUUACUGAGACUGAGACUAAAACUGUAACUGUGGGAAGUAGUCCUCUAACCGACAGGCCCCAAAUAAAGCAAUAUAGCUGAGUUGGGGUCCAAUCUAUAACCCCAAUUGGAAGGGUGUCAAUACCGCACCACUUGUAAGGACAAGCUGUGAGUGACCCUCAUCUGACAGAUACUCUAAUGAGAAUGGUGAGACCCUCAUCUGAUAGGUUAAGCCACCUCAUCAACCCUCGACUGGCAGUUUGAUAUCUUAAACUAUGCUGGCUACGCAGUUCUGGAAUGCAAGGAUUGCUUCUAAGAAUCACACCCUUACCUGGCAGGUAAGUUCCAAUCCUUGGGUUCACUUGGUGCUAAAUCCUACUCCCAUCUGAAUAGACACUAAACAUGAUUAUUUGAACUGAAAUGGACUGAAUUCAUUGAGUUCCGUUGACUCACAGAAUACUACUGAGAUUACUGAAUUCUGAGCUUUCUGAGGUUUUUGGAAUUACUGAGUUUACUGAGUUUUCCUGAGUCACAUGACUAAGUUCUAUGGAUCAUGGAUUGACUAAGAGUAUCUUGAAAACAUGACACUAGAUCUAGGCACACAGCUAAAUUGUAGGGUACAAGUACCCCCAGGACUCGAUAGAAGGAAACUGACAAGGCAUGACAUUCUUGAAUACGUGGCCAACAAUCCAUAAUACAAUAAGUUGGGGAUUUAAUGAAGUACAUGGUUAUCAUAAUAUUGUACAUGGUAGGAAUGCAUAUAAUCAAUGUCAUAAUUUCAUACUGUAAUAUCAUGAGCAUUCCAACAAACAUCUGCAUUGCACCACAAUAGCAUGGGAGUCAUUUGAACAUAAGGGUAAAACAUACAUUUAUCAUAUCGGUCACAAUUGAGCUAUAAUACAUAAUUUCUAUCCUCUUAGGCAUUUUUUCAAACACAAUACAUGCACAAUUUAGGGCAUAGCUGUAAUCAUUAAAUUACACCUCAUAAACAACUCAAUUCAUGGUUUUUAACUUGCAUGCUAACGUAGUUUCAUCAAAAACACGUAAAGAUUCCAACUUGGGAAUCGUACAAUAAGAUAAACAUGGUUACUAAACAACCCAGAACAUAAAUAUCAUGAUUUAUAAUUUGAAAUAGGGUUCUUCAGCUGUAUGGAUAAAAAGAAUCCAUAAAUCAACACUAUGCAUACCUUGGAUAGAAGAUUCUUGAAAACAAAUGGUGAAAUUCUGGAAAUUGGAUCCUCAGUUGAAAACCCUAAGCUUGUUCUUGAUGGAUUUAGAGAGAGAUAAGGGUAUUUAGGUUCAAUUGGGGCUUAAUCCCAUGUUUUAGACUUAUAUAGGGGUGGAAAAUUGACCCAUUUGCCCUUGAGGAUGCGGUCAUUUAAUGAAUAAAAACGGGGUACCGACGCAACAAGCGACGCGAUGCAUUGAUGGCUGCGACGCAAUACUAGAUACGUCCCACCAUGAUCGCGUUGAGCCUCAGAAUUUUUGGCUCUGGCAGCCUGCACAAAUGUUGUCCAACAGAUUGGUGAUGCGGUGUGCCCUGAUCGCGUUGGUCCACUAUUUUGGGACUCCAAACAUGAUCUACAUGUGUUCCAAAAAAUCCAAAACUUGUUCGGGAAUACCUAUUGACUUUCCUGAUUAUGAAUUAAUAAAAAUAUGAACCAUUAAAGGAAGUUAAUGUGGAGAAAUGACAUUGCCAACUUUUGAAGGCCAAUAAUCGGCUAAGUCUAGGAACCUUACUAGAAUUUUCUAAGUCUUGGAUCCCUUGACAAGCUUAACGAACUGAAUUAAGUUUUAGGAUUUUACGGGGUCUUACAAUAUGUCCCCAUUGAGAACACUCAUCCUUAAAUGAGAUCGACUGAGAGGGGAGAAAAGAUAAACUAACGUGCAUACUGAACAUGAACAACUGAAACAUGAUUCCAUGACUGACAUAACUGAUAACUGAAUACAUCAUACUGAGAAUGCCUAUCUGAUGCAUGUGUAGCUGAUUUAUGAAUACAUAACUGAGUGUUCUGAUGAAGUGAGUCGAUAUAGAGUUUAUAAAGGAAUUCUGAUCAUGAACUGGAUACCAAGUUGUGACUGAUUUCUGAAUAUGAAUCUUAAAGCUUAAGGAGAUCUAUUACCUUGGGUAGACUCUAAGUUAGCAAAGAAGAGGUGAGGAUACUUAGUACGCAUGUCCACUUCUGCUUCCCAAGUAGCUCCCUCAAUGGACUGAUUCUGUCAAAGAACUUUGACUAAAGGGACUUCUUUGUUCCUCAGUCUACGAGUCUGAUAGUUAAGGAUUUCAACUGGAAUCUCCUUAUAAGAGAGGCUAUUCUGGACAUCUAUGCUCGGAUUAGGGACUACAACUAAUGGAUCACCUAUGCACUUAUUGAGAAAAGAGACAUGAAAAACUAGAUGAAUUGAGGCUAGAUCUAAAGGUAACUCGAGCUCAUAAUCUACUUUGCCAAAGCAACUGAGAAUUUUGAAGGAACCAAUAUAUCGGGGACUGAGAUUUCCCUUAUUUCCAAAUCUCUUCACUUCCUUUAUGGGAGAAAUCUUUAGAUAGACAUAGUCGCCAAUCUCAAACUCGAGAUCCUUUCUGCGCAUAUCUACAUAAGACUUCUAUCGGCUCUGAGAAGCCCGAAGUCUUUCUCUGAUCAACUGGACUUUUUCUAAGUCAUCGAAUACUAAGUCAGUCCUUAUGACUAAGGCCUCACUAACUUUGUACCAAAUGCCUGGAGAUCUGCACCUCCUACCAUAGAGAGCUUCGAAUGGAGCCAUCCAAAUGCUGGACUAAUAGUUGUUAUUGUAUACAAACUCAAUCAAAGGCAAGUGGUCAUCUUAACUACCCUUCAAUUACACACUCCCUUAGCAUAUCUUAUAAAGUCUGAAUGGUCCUUUCUGCUUGACUAUCUGUCUAAGGAUGGAAUGUUGUACUGAAAUGAACUUGGGUACCAAGACCCUUUUAGAAUGCUUUCCAAAAAUAAAAGGUGAACGGGGUACCUCUGUCUGAGAUAAUAGACAAAGGAAUAUCGUGUAAUCUGACCAACUCCCUGAUAUAGAGUUUGGCGUAAUCCUUGGCUGAAUAGGAGGUAUGGAUUGGAAAAAAAUAAGCUGAUUUGAUCAUCUUGUCUACAAUGACCCAAACUAAAUCAUGCUGAUGACUAGUACGAGAAAAACCCAUCACAAAUUCCAGGUUCACUUCUUCCCACUUCCAUAUAGGAAUACUAAACUCCUGAUAGACCCACUAGGCUUCUGAUGCUCUAUGUUAACUUGCUGACAUGUAGAGCACUUAGCCACAAACUCUGCAACAUCUCUCUUCAUCUCACUCUACCAAUAGAUCUCCCACAAGUUACGGUACAUCUUUGUGGCCCCUUGAUGAAUAGAGUAACGUAUUUGCCUCUGCAAUAAUUUGUUACCUCAAGUUAUCUACACUAGGAAUACACAAACGACCCUGACAACGCAAUACACUAUCCCCCCUUGGGGGAAAACCUCUACUUUCUAAUCCUUGACUGACUCUUUCAACCUGACUAAACUGGAAUCUCUACCUUACUUUUGUUUCACCUCAGAAACUAGAGAUGAUUCAUAACUACUCUGAACCCAUAUAUCACCGUCUUCUGUAUCAACUAAGCGAACACCUAGUCCAGUAAGCUGGUGGACUUCCUAAGAUAGCUUCUUCUUACUACCCUCAACAUAAGCAAUACUACCUAUAGACAAUCUACUGAGAGCCUUGGCCACUACAUUGGCCUUUCCCGGAUGAUGAAGGAUACUCAUGUUGUAGUUUUUCAAGAGCUCUAACCAUCUUUUCUGAUGGAGGUUAAGAUUUUUUUGAGAGAAUAAGUACUUAAGGAUUUUAUGAUCUAUGAACACAUCUACAUGAACACAGUACAAGUAAUGCCUCCAAAUCUUUAAAGAAAAUACUAGUUUUACUAACUCAAGAUUAUGAGUUGGAUAAUCUUCUCAUGAGGUUUAAGCUGUCUGGAGGCGUAGGCUAUGACCUUACAUUAUUCAUGAGGAAACAACCCAAACCUACUCUGGAUGCAUCACAAUACACUAUGAACCCAUCUGAACCAUCUGGAAGAGCCAAAACUGGAGCUGAGGUGAGUCGAGUCUUCAACUCCUAAAAACUCUUUUCGCAAGGAUCUGACCACUAAAACUUGACUUUCUUCUAAGUGAAUCUAGAAAUAGAGGAUGCAACAGAAGAGAAUCCCUUAACAAACUAUCUGUAAUAGCCAGCUAAACCUAAGAAACUCCUGAUAUUUCAUAGAGAGAUAGGUCUGGGCUAGUUUCUUACUGCUUCAGUCUUUUGAGGAUCUACUCUAAUGCCAUCACCGGAUAUGAUAUGUCCAAGAAAUGCUACAGACCUUAUCCAAAAUUUGUACUUAUUGAAUUUAGCAAACAACUGGUGAUUUUUGAGAGUCUGAAGCACUGUUCUGAGAUGGUCUGUAUGAUCAUAGUCACUACAGGAAUAGAAAAGGAUGUAAUCUAUGAAAACUAUGAUGAACAUGUCCAAGUACUGCUUAAACACCUAAUUCAUCAAGUCCAUGAAAGCUGCUGGGGCAUUGGUAAGACCAAAGGACAUGACUAAGAAUUCGAAAUGACCAUAUCGAGUUUGAAAGGUUGUUUUCAGAAUAUCACCUUCCCUGAAUUUGAGCUGAUAAUAGCCCGAUCUGAGGUAUAUCUUAGAGAAAUAGUUGGCACCCUAAAGUUGGUCAAAUAAGUCAAUGAUUCAGGGAAGUGGAUUCUUGUUCUUGACUGUGACUUUAUUGAGUUGACGGUAAUCAAUGCACAUUCUGAGAGAACCAUCUUUUUUUGCAUGAAUAAGACUGGUGCACCCUAUGGGUAAAAAAUGGGUCUGAUAAAUCCCUUAUCUAAGAGAUUCUUCAACUGCUCUUUUAAUUCUCCAAGUUCUGCUACUGUAUUUUGUAUGGAGAAAUAGAUAUAGGCUAAGUAUCUAGAAGAAGAUCAAUGCCGAAGUUUAUUUCCCUUUCGGGAGAAAUUCUUGAAAGAUCUUUGGUAAAGAUAUCUAAAUAUUCAUUCACAGCUGGGACUGAUUCAAGAUUGGGAGUUUUAGAACUAGUGUCCUUAACUCGAACAAGAUGAUAGACACAUCCUUUACAUAUCAUUUUCCUUGACCGAAGGUAAGAAACAAGCUGAGCUCUGAAAGCUAAAGUACUACCCCUCCAUUCUAGGAUAGGUUCAUUCAGAAAUUAAAACUGGACAACUCUAUUUCUGUAGUCUACUAUGGCAUAGCUGGAAUGAAGCUAAUCCAUACUAAGAAUGACAUCAAAAUUGGUCAUCUCUAAUUCAACUAAGUCUGUUAAAGUGACUUUCUGAGAUAUCAUAACCGGGCAGUUCCUGUAUACCUACCAGGCUAUGAUGGUUUUACCAACUGGGGUAGAGACUGAAAAGGGCUCUGCUAGAAUUUUAGGGCUGACUCCGAAAUGACCUGCUAUAUAAGGAUAAUAAAGGACAAAGAGGCUCCUGGAUCUGGCAAAGCAUAAAUAUGCAAGUGAAAAAUCUAUAACAUACCUGUAACCAUAUCAGGAGAAUUUUCCUGAUCUUGCUAGGACUGGAGAGCAUAAAGUCUAUUUGGGCGUUGCCCACUAGUAGCACUGGAAGUGGCACCCUACUGAUUUGGGCGAUCGGUCUGAUCUAAGAAACGGUUUGCUGACUCUGGGAACCUAUCUGAGGGCAAUCUCUGACUCUAUGACCUAGCUUUCUACAUCCAAAACAAAUAUCGCUGCCAACUCUGCAAAUACCCUGAUGGUGUUUCCCACAAGUCUGACAAAGAGGAUUGAUUUGGGCACUACUAACAAUGCCCUGAGACUUAGAACCUGGCACCCUAUCUCUGCUAGCAUCACUAAAUUUUGGCACUGAAACACUAGCUAAAUAAGGAGAUGGAACUGAUAACUUAGAAAGAAACUGAGAACGGUUUCCUCCCUCUGACUUAGGCAGAGCAAUGUUGAAACUACUUGUCCUUGGUCUCUUAUUCUGCUUCUCUCUCAUCUUAAUAUUUUGCUCUUCUAUCUACUGAGCAUGGGUUAUAAGGUUGGAUACGUUCAUGUCACUAUUCAACAUUGCAGCCUGCACUCAUUAACCACACUAUCGUUUGCCCCAAAAAAAACUUACUCAUCUUAGCCCUAUUAUCUGCAUUUACAUGAGGAGCAUAUCUGGUUAAUUGAGUAAACUUAAAAGAAUACUCUUUCACUGUUAUGUUGCCCUGCCUAAGGUUGAUAAAUUUUAACACCUUAGCUUCUCUCAACUCUAGGGGAAAGAAUCUAUCUAAGAAUACGGUGACAAACUCCUCCCACUCUAAGGAUCCUGCAUCAACUGACCUCUAUGACUUCUACUAUUUGAACCAACUGUGAGCAAUGUCCUACAACUGAUAUGCAGAUAGCUCAACACUCUCACUAAAACUAACCCUCAUGAUGUCUGUAACUUUCUAAACUUGGUCAAAAAAAUCCUAAGGAUUCUCUUCUGACUUAGACCCAAAAAAAGAUAGAGGAUUUAUCCUGGCUACUGCUGAAUUGGCCACUGGGUUGGUAGGAACGACAUCUGGUCGUUCAUUCUGAGAAGUAACUGACUUAGCAAGAGUAGUGAAUGCAGCUCUGAACUCUACAUGAGAGACAUGUUCUUCCAAAGGAUCUUCGGGAUGAGGGGCUGACUGAUUUCCAGUUCUCUUCUUGGGAGGCAUGUUUUGUAAAUGGAAAAGAAAAGGAUUAGACUAAGAGAUUAACUUGAGACUAUGCUCAUUGGCACGACAAAAAUACUAAAAGAAGGAAAUCUAUUUCUAAAACAUCCUAUAGCCUCCUAUACAUAAAUAUGGCACGCAACACACCCAUGUACAAGACUCUACUAGAUGUGGCUUUUAGACUUCCUAGGACACUGUUGAACCUUAGGAUCUGAUACAAAGUUUUUAACGCUCCAAAUCUGGUACCUGAAAUGCUACACAAUGCUUAUGACCCCAAAAGGCCACAAGCUAACCCAUUACUGAUAUUUGUACCUGAACACUGCAUAAUAUACUAUAUAAAUAAGAAAAUAAAGGUUGAGAGGCCAUAAAGUUCAAAUAACUAAUAAAACAUAACAUCUGAGAGUACGGUAUAUCAAUACCAAAAUGAAAACUGAAAUAAACUCUCUGAACAUACUAUAGUCUGGAAGCCUCUAAACUAUCUAAAAAUUAUGGAGUUGAUGGGACAUGUCCCCAACUAACUCUGAACUACUAAAAUAAUAAAGUAAUAAAAUAAUUAUGCUAUCCUUAAAUAAUGAGGCCUCAUUGCUAGUCUGGCUGCUGAACGUCUGAUCUACUAAAGAUGCUCUGGAGCUCAUACUUCUGAACCUAUGGUAUAAAACACCAUAGUGUAAAUGCAUCAGUACGAUUGAAUGUACUAGUAUGCAAGUGAGGUAGGAUAAAUAUAAAGGGUUUAAAUGCAUGAAUAAUGCUAACUGACUGUAUAACAUAAAUGUGAGAAUACAUCCAUGAAUAGGUGACUGUAACUGAAUUCGUGAUGAUACUGACUACUAAGUCUGAAUUCUAAUAACAUGAGAUACUGGUAACUGAUAUAACUGAUACUGAGCGACUAUGUCUGACAGUCUAUGUUUUGAUGGAACUAGCUGAGUUUCGUACUGAGCUGAGUGACUGUAUCUGACAGUCCUGAGUUCUGUAGAACUAUCUGAGUUCUAUUACUAAGAUUAAGACUGAAACUGUAACUGUGGGAAGUAUUAAUCUAACCAACAUACCCAAAUAAAGCAAUAUAGUUGAGUUGAGGUCCAAUCCAUAACCCCAAUUAGAAGGGUGCCAAUACCACACCACUGGUAAGGACAAGCUGUGAGUGACCCUCAUCUAGCAGGUACUCUAAUGAGAAUGGUGGGACCCUCAUCUAACAGGUUAAGCCACCUCAUCAAACCUUGACUGGCAGUUUGAUAUCUUAAACUACGCUGGCUACGUAGUUCUGGAAUGCAAGGAUUGCUUCUAAGAAUCACACCCUUACCUGGCAGGUAAGUUCCAAUCCUUGGGUUCACUUGGUGCUAAAUCCUACUCCCAUCUGAAUAGACACUAAACAUGAUUAUUUGAACUGAAAUAGACUGAAUUCAUUGAGUUCUGUUAACUCAUAGAAUACUACUGAGAUUACUAAAUUACUGAGCUUUCUGAGGUUUUUGGAAUUACUGAGUUUACUGAGUUUUCCUGAGUCACACGACAGACUAAGUUCUAUGGAUCAUGGCAUGACUAAGAGUAUCUUGAAAACAUGACACUAGAUCUAGGCACACAGCUAAAUUGUAGGGUACAAGUACCCCCAGGACUCGAUAGAAGGAAACUGACAAGGCAUGACAUUCUUGAAUACAUGACCAAUAAUCUAUAAUACAAUAAGUUGGGGAUUUAAUGAAGUACAUGGUUAUCAUAAUAUUGUACAUGGUAGGAAUGCAUAUAAUCAAUGUCAUAAUUUCAUACUGUAAUAUAAUGAGCAUUCCAACAAACAUCUACAUUGCACCACAAUAGCAUGGGAGUCAUUUGAACAUAAGGGUAAAACAUACAUUUAUCAUAUGGGUCACAAUUGAGCUAUAAUAGAUAAUUUCUAUCCUCUUACGUAUUUUAUCAAACACAAUACAUGCACAAUUUAGGGCAUAGCUGUAAUCAUUAAAUUACACAUCAUAAACAACUCAAUUCAUGGUUUUCAACUUGCAUGCUAACGUAGUUUCAUCAAAAACACGUAAAGAUUCCAACUUGGGAAUCGUACAAUAAGAUAAAUAUGGCUACAAAACAACCCAGAACAUAAACAUCAUUUAUAAUUUGAAAUAGGGUUCUUGAGCUUUAUGGAUAAAAAUAAUCCAUAAAUCAACACUAUGCAUACCCUGGAUAGAAGAUUCUUGAAAACAAAUGGUGAAGUUCUAGAAAUUGAAUCCUCAGUUGAAAACCCUAAGCUUGUUCUUGAUGGAUUUAGAGAGAUAAGUGUAUUUAGGUUGAAUUAGGACUUAAUCCCGUGUUUUAAACUUAUAUAGGGGUGGGAAAUUGACCUUUUUUCCCUUAAGGAUAUGGUCAUUUAAUGACUAAAAACUGAGUGCCGAUGCUAUAAGCGACGUGGCGCAUUGAUGUCUGCGAUGUGAUGCUCGAUGCAUUGCACCAUGAUUGUGAUGAGCCUUAGAAUUUUUGGCUCUGGCAGGCUACACAAAUGUUGACCAACGCGAUUGGCGAUGUGGUGUGCCAUGAUCGCGUGGGUCCACUAUUUUUGGACUCUAAACAUGAUCUAAACGUGUUCCAAAAAAUCCAAAACUUAUUCGAGAACACCUAUUAACCUUCCUAGUCAUGAAUUAAUAUAAAUACAGACCAUUAACGUAUGUUAAGGUGGCAAAAUAAGAUUUCUAUCUUUCGAAGGACAAUAAUAGGCUAAGUAUAGGAACCUAGCUAGAAUUUUCUAAGUUUGAGACCCCUUGACAAGCUUAAAGAACUGAACUGAGCUUUAGGAUUUUAUGGGGUCUUACAAUAUACUUAUGGGGUACAUGGGAAUCCCCUAAGUUUAUACUUGUAUAUAUGUAUCAUGGAGGGCAAAUGAUACACAGGAAUCCUCGUCCCCUAUAAUAUCUCUUGUUUGUGUGGCCACGCGCACUGGAGUCCAUUCAGAGGUAACACUGGACCCAUAUAGCUCAUGGGUGAUUUUUAGACGAUCAAUAUACAUAACCCAAGUUAAAGAUUUAAAUACAUGCUAAACAUGGUUCCCUUUUCUUGGCAUGCUAUAUAUAUGUAUAUAUGUAUGUGAUUGCAUAUGGUUAUUUAUUUUGGUUUUGAAUAAUGGCAUUAUUUUAUCCUUAUUCCUGAGUACAUGCUGUCGUUCAUCAUGCCAACUGUCUUCGGGCAUUGUAUUCUUACGCGAUGCAGGAACCAGCCAUACUACUACUCCUUCUAAGUGACUUGGAUUCUGGGAUAGCUCAAAAUCAGAGUGAAGUGGUGAGCUUUCAUACUUUGGAAGACUCCAUUUCAUGAUAUGGACUUCUUUACUAUGUUUGUGUUUCUUGGACUUUGGUUUUGUCUAUAGUCGAGGGCAUGUCCCGAUCAAAUAUUCCUUAAUUUUUAUUAAAGGCUUUGUGUGACUACUAUGGGCAUUGUCGGUGUUAGUGUUGACAUCAACCUUGGCCUUGGUAUUGGUAUUAGGGUUGACACCUGUUGGAUGUUUGGUUGGAUUCUUGGGUGGUUAUGGUUAUUCACUUUAAUUAAUGUUCUUCAAUUAUAAUUAUUUUAUCUUUUUAUAUGUUCAAAAUUCAUCCGACAUAGGGUGAAAGGCGGUUAUGGUUGGAUAUUAGGGGUGGUCUUUGGUCCAGGUUGGGAUUGAGGCACAUGAAACAACUAGGCCCUAGUUUGGAUCAUGUCAAGGGGUGUUGUGUUUGGGUUGAUUAGGUGCAGGGGUUAUCUCUAGUCCAUGUAGGACUUGAGACAUCUGACACGGCCAGGCCCUGGUUUGGGUCAUGUAAAAGAGGUUAGGAAAUGAGAGAACGAGCCAUGAUGCUAGAGUCAAAGCUCAAGCAGAGGCUGGCCAGAAUCUUGAGGGGUAAGCAUCACCUCCCCAACCUUAGGAUCAUUUGAAAAAGAUAGAAUAAGUAGAGAAAUAGAGUGUGAAGCUCGAGACAAUGACUUAAGUUGGGGUUGCAGGACUACCCCUAUGUCCGCUAUGGUUAUUCAGUAGGUGUUAGCUUUUCUAAGUGGGUUGGUUGGGACUAGCUUAUUAAGAUCUAAUUGUUCAUCAUACUAACUCCAUAGAUCCUCGAAUGGAUGAGGCUUUAGAGACCGAUGCUUUUCCUUGCCAGGUGUUGAGUUCGAUGAUGAGUGAUAAAAAAUGAAUUUUUGAUAAAAUUCUUGAAUAUGACAUCUCUAACAUUCCAGGGAACUGAGAGCACAGAAGAUUUAUCAGAUUUGAGAGCACUUUAUUCUCCAUUCAUCAUUCUCUCUUAAACAAAACCCUAAGACUCAUACUUCCUCUCCAAGAAACUCAAGAAUUUCUCUGUUAACUCUCCAAGAUAAGUUAAGAUUAAGGAUUCCCAAACAAGAACACUAAGAAUUCAUCUCCAAAGCAUCCAUAAGAAUCCAAGAUUCGAGCCUUUCAUCAAAUAUUAUCAAUUAAGGUAUGUGGGAUUUUGAACAAGGAUAAAUCUUUCAUCCUUGUGCCCAAAAACUUACUUAAAAUUAUAAAUUUCUAAGUUUUGUAUGAUUUUCCAUGAAAUUUAAGUUAUGGUUGAUACCCAAAUCCUCAUUAUUUUAGUUUAUGAAAUUAUUAUAAUAUGUAAGGCUCCAAUUGCAAGAAAUUUACAUAUGUUCAUGUUUGAAAUUAUAUGAUUUGUAUUAUGAGUUAUAUACCAUUAUUUUGACUGAGAUUGUUAAAAGUUUUAAAGAUGAUUAUUGAGCAUGAAGUUUAAAUCUGAUUAUUGAUGUAAGUAUUGAUGCAACAGAGUAUUAUACUUUGAUUCCUAAGUACCAUUGAUGAUUUUAUAAGGAGAUUAUGAUCUUAAGUCCUAUUUACAAGUUUUGAUUAAUGUUUUCAAAAGGAAAGAUUGAUAUUUUGAUCCAAGCUAAGAUAGAAGUCCACAUGAUUCAUAUAGAUUAUGAUUUAAAGCAAAGAAAAGCAUAAUUGGUUUUUAUUAUAAACCCUUAUGUUGUUUUAAGGUAGAUUUCCUAAAAGUUCUAAGCAAUAAGUAUGGGAGUAGUAUUUAACACCAAGUUAGGUAUGAUUCCAAGGUCUCAUGUCCCAGAAUUAUGAGCCACCGUAGGUUCUAAAUGCCCAUAAUAGAAUAAGAUAGUGACCACUAAAGUUAAGGUUCCAUUCCAAUGGAAAGGGUAGAACUACUCUCCCCAACGUGGGAAAGACGUGGAAUCCAUGUCAGCUCACAUGUUUUAUGUCAGUUAGAAAAAACUCCCUUAGUCCCAAAGUCCCAAGAUUUCCAAAGCUCCCAAAACUUUUAAGUUUAAAAGAAAGAAUGAUAGAAAAGCCUUUGUAAGACUAAGUGUUAUGGCUCACUAUAUUUACAAGUAUGAUUUGUUAUGCAUGAUUUUGUAUUUUGAUAUUUUAGAUAUUCAAGCUUAUAUGAGUCAUAUAGAUCCAUAUGCAUUUACUUUCUAAUUAUGAUGAUGUUUACUUAUUCAUUACACCCCCAUAUACUCAGUACAUCCUCAAAGUACUGAUCCACAUAUAUGCCUAUGUUCUAUAUUGUCUCAUAAUGUAGGUUCAGGUGCUCAGUCUCAGCAACGUGAGUGAUCUUCGAGUAUCUCUUCUACAUCCCUGCAGUUGGUGAGUCCACAUAGUUUGGGGACUUAGAUGUUCACACUUUCAGUUUAUUAGUAUAUGUUCCAUCAUUCAUUUCAGACUAUUGAGUCAACUGAGGCAUGUCCCAGUGGCUCUCUAGACUCAGAUAGUAAAGGCUUGUCAGAUUACCAGAUUUAAUAUUCAGAUUUCUAUUUUAGUAAAUAUAUUUUUCAUAUUUUCUUUAUCAUACUUUUGAGAUUAGUAUGAUUCAGAUAUACCCAGAUGAUUCAGAUAGCUUUUCGCAUAUAUUAUGAUUUUUUAUUUAUAUUUUCCCCUAUUUUGAGGUUCAAAUUUAGAAAAUGUAGCCAGGGUUAGCUUAGGACUACUUGCAGUUCGAAGCAUCAUGUGGCAUCUCGAGAACUAGAUUUUAGGGCGUUACAAACUUGGUAAUAGAGCCUAAGGUUUAGAGAGUCCUAGGGAGUCAUACAAGCCAUGUUACAUAGAGUCUUGAUCAUCUAUGUGAAGUGCGCCAUAUCUAUGAGCAAGAGGCUAUAGAGUAUUUUAGAAAAUUAUCUUUUCUUUCAUGAUCUAUCAUGUAUUUAUUGUCUCUAUCUUCUUCUAAAUCAUGCUUUCACAUAACAAAAAAUACCUCCCCAUUGAGCUAACGCCCGUAGAAAUGAUAACCAGCCAACUCAGCCUGCAGAUUCUUUGACUGAGAAUAUGUCAUAUGCAGAGUUUUGGGCUGCCUUUUAGGAGCUACCCCAAGAUAUGACAGCUAAUGUUCAUGGCAACCAUCAGGCUACAGUCCCACCUCAGUAGGAUAGGGAAUAGCUGUAGCUAAAAUCUGAGAUUUUAUGAGGAUAAAUCUGUCAGAAUUCUAUGGGUCAAAGGCAAGUGAGGACCCAUAGUUGUAUCUAGAUAAGGUGUAAAAGAUCACUCAAAUUAUGCAUUUUUCUGAAGAAGAGAGUGUAGAAUUGACAUCCUAUAGGAUGAAGGAUGUUGCAUAUGAUUGGGUGGUGAUAUGGAAGAAAAGUAAGGGAAGAAUGCAUCUCCCAUGACUUGGCAGAUAUUUUAGGAUGCGUUCUUAGACAAGUUUUUCCCGUGUGCGAUAAGGGAAGCUAAGAUAGAAGAGUUCAUGAACCUAAGGCAAGGCUCAAUGACUAUGAAAUAGUAUUGCCUCAAGUUUAACCAAUUGUCCAAGUACGCCCCCAAUCAGAUAGCUGACCCUUGGUCAAGCAUGAGUAAGUUUGUAACCGGUGUGUCUGGUCUAGUAGUUAAGGAGUGUAGGAUUACUAUGAUCAUUGAACACAUAGAUCUUCUUAUAUUGAUUAUGCAUGCUUAAUAAAUUAAGGCAUAAAAAGAAAACAAAAGAAAGAGAGAAAAUAAGAGGGCUAGAAUAGGGCGGCUUGAUUAUGGUCAGACUAGGUAUGGAGGAGGGAAUCAUUCGCAGUUCCAAAAUCAUUCAUCUAUGCCUGUACCUUCUUCAGCCAUUGCUCCUGCACCUACAAAUAGGCAAGAACAGUGGGGUAAGUCUUCCAUGUCCAGAUCUCAAAAUAGUGUGAGCAGUAAACCCAAUUAUCCUCCAUGUGCUAAGUGUGGUAGAACUCAUCCUGGUAAGUGCUUGACUGGGCAAAAGGGUUUUUUGGUUGUGGCAAGUUAGGUCAUGGAAUUAGAGAGUGGUCGUAUGCUAAGCAAGGAUAUAGAGAUGUUCGUCCUCAAACUUGAGCUAAUAGUGCACCAGCUCCUCCUCAUGGUGCAUCAUCUAGAACCAGUGGCGGUCAGUGCCAAAAUCAGUUUUAUGCUUUUCUAUCCCACCAGGAACAUAAAGAUUCCCUAGAUGUUGUGACUGGUAUACUUUGUGUCUUUCCUUUUGAUGUUUAUGUGUUGUUAGACCCUUGGUUGAGUUUCUCUUAUGUGACCCCGUUAGUUGCUUUAAAUUUUGAGAUAAGUUCUGAAAAGGUCCCUGAACCUUUCUUGGUAUCUACUCCAGUAGGUGAGUUAGUUAUUGCCAAAUAGAUUUAUAAAAAGUGUCCUAUCACUGUCCUUCAUAAAGUUAUGUUAGCAGACCUGAUAGAAUUAGACAUGGUUGAUUUUGACCUUAUUAUGGGUAUGGAUUGGCUUCAUUCCUAUUAUGCUUCUAUAGAUUUUCGCACCCGAGUGGUGACGUUGUAGUUUCCAGAUGGGCCAGUAUUUAAGUGGUUAGGUAAUUCAGUGUCUCACAAGAGUCAUUUUAUAUCUUACCUUAAGGCCAGGAAGUUGAUAUCCAAAGGUUUCAUUUACCAUCUAGUUUGAGUCAACACAAAGUCUGAGACUCUAACACUUCAUUUCGUUUAAGAGGUUAACGAGUUUCCUGAUGUUUUUCCAGAAGAUCUCUCAGGGGUACCUCCCGAUAGAGAGAUAGAAUUUAGUAUUGACCUUUUCCCAGAGACUCAACUUGUUUCUAUAACUCCUUAUCAUAUGGCUCUCACAGAGCUUAAGAAGUUGAAGGAGCAACUCAAAGAUCUUCUAGAUAAAGGCUUUAUAAGGCCUAGUAUUUUUUCAUAGGGCGGUCCCAUCUUAUUCAUGCAAAAGAAAGAUGGUUCUUUGCGCAUGUGCAUUGACUAUCAUCAGUUGAAUAAAGUUAUAGUCAAGAACAAAUAUCCUCUUCCUAGAAUUAAUGACCCGUUUGAUCAAUUGCAAGGUGUAAGUUAUUUCUCAAAGAUAGACCUUAGAUCCGUCUAUCAUCAGCUUAAAUUAAGGGAAUGUGACAUUCCAAAGAUAGCUUUAAGAACCCGUUAUGGUCAUUUUGAGUUUCUAGUCAUGUCUUUCAGGCUAACCAAUGCCCCAGUAGCUUUCAUAGACCUCAUGAAUAAAGUGUUCAAACAGCAUAUAGACAUGUUUGUAAUAGUAUUCAUAGACAAUAUCCUUGUGUACUCCCGUAGUAAGGAUGAUAAUGUAGAUCAUCUUAAAAUUGUCUUCAAACUCUUAGAGAUCAUCGAUUGUUCACCAAAUUCUACAAGUGCGAAUUUUGGCUAAGAUUAGUAGCCUUUCUCGUUCAUAUUGUCUUCGCCAAUGGCAUUAGAUUCUAUCCCCAAAAGACAAAAGCCGUAAGGAACUAGCCUAGACCUAUCUCUCCGUCAGACAUUAGGAGUUUCUUGGGUCUAGCUGGUUAUUACCACUGUUUUGUUAAAUAUUUCUCUUUUAUCACGUCUCCUAUGUCUAGAUUGAACCAAAAGAAAGUGAAGUUCCUAUGGUCAAAUUCCUAUGAAAAGAGUUUUCAGGAGUUGAAGACUCGACUCACAUUACCUGAUGGUACAGAUGGCUUUGUUAUUUAUUGCAAUGCCUCUAGGGUUGGUUUGGGCUAUGUGUUAAUGCAGAGAGGUAAGGUUAUAGCCUAUUCCUCUAGACAGUUGAAGCAUCAUGAAAAGAAUUACCCAACCUAUAAUCUGGAAUUAGCUGCUAUGGUAUUUGCUUUGAAGAUUUGGAGACAUUAUCUGUAUGGUGUACAUGUUGAUGUGUUCACAGACCACAAAAGCUUGCAGUAUGUGUUUUCUCAGAGGGAGUUGAAUCUCUAUCAGAGAAGGUGGAUAGAGUUGCUAAAAGACUACGAUAUGAGUGUGUUGUAUCAUCCAGCCAAGGCCAAUGUAGUGGCAGACACCCUUAGUAAGUUGUCUAUGGGUAAUCUUGCUCAUGUAGAGAAAGAUAGGAAAGAAUUAGCUCAAGAAGUUCAUCAUUUGGCUAGAUUAGGUGUUACGUUGGUUAAUUCAGCUGAAGGGAAUGUUUGGGUUCAGAGUAGUUAUGAAUCUUCCCUAGUUUCGGAAGUGAAGGAGAAACAAGAUAUGGAUUUCAGUUUGGUCAAACUGAAAGAGUUAGUUAAAGACCAAAGGGUAGAGGUUAAAGACCAAAGGGUAGAGGUUUUCUCCUAAGGGGGAGAUGGUGUGUUAAGAUAUCAAAGUAGAUUGUGUGUGCCAUAUGUUGAUGAUUUGAGGCAGAGAAUUAUGGCCUAAGCGCAUGGUGCACAUUAUUCUAUUCAUCCAGGUGCUACCAAGAUGUACUACCACUUGCGGGAAAUCUAUUGGUGGAGUGGUAUGAAGAGAGAUAUAGUAGAGUUCAUAGCAAAGUGUGCAACUUGUCAACAGGUUAAGGUAGAGUACCAAACACCUGGUGGUACGUUGCAAAAGUUUGGUAACCCCACUUGGAAGUGGGAAGAGGAAUAUGGAUUUUAUGACUGAUUUACCCCGAUCGCAUCAUCACCAUGAUUUGAUAUAGGUUAUUGUAGAUAGAUUAACUAAGUCAGCGCAUUUCUUGCCAGUUCACACGUCUUAUAUAACUGAGGAUUAUGCUAAGUUGUAUAUCCGAGAGUUAGUCAGAUUUUAUGGAGUUACCUUGUCUAUCAUUUCAGAUAGGGGUACUCAAUUCACUUUCCAGUAUGGGAAAGCCUUUCAGAAGGGUCUAGGUACCCAAGUCCAUCUUAGUUCAGCUUUUCACACUCAAAAGGAUGGUCAACCAGAAAGGACCAUCCAAACUCUAGAAGAUAUGUUAAGGGCGUGUGCUCUUGAUUUCAAAGGUAGUUGGUAUGAGCAUUUUCCAUUGAUUGAGUUCGCUUAUAAUAACAGCUAUUAUUCUAGCAUUUGAAUGGCUCCGUUUGAGGCUAUUUAUGGGAGGAGAUGUAGAUCACCCUUAGGUUGGUUUAAAGUGGGUGAGGCCGCUUUACUUGGGACUAACACAGUGUUUGAAGCUCGGAAAAAAGUUAAGUUGAUUAGAGAAAGAUUGAAAAUAGACCAGAGUCAUCAGAAAUCCUAUGCAGAUAUGAGAAGAAGGGACCUAAAGUUGGAGGUUGGUGAUCUAGUAUAUUUGAAGAUUGCACCCAUGAAAGGGGUGAAGAGAUUUGGCAAGAAGGGGAAGCUUAGUCCCCGGUAUGUUGGCCCUUAUAGAAUUUUGAGUCGUGUUGGGAAAUAGCUUAUGAGCUUGAGUUUCCCGUAGACUUGUCAGCCGUUCAUCCUGUAUUUUAUGUCUCCAUUCUUAAGAAGAGCAUCGGUGACUCCACCAUUGUAGUUCCUUUAGAAAGCUGAGAUAUUCAAAUUAGUCUUUCUUACGAAGAGAUUCCAGUUGAGAUUUUAGAUCAUCAGAUCCAUAGACUAAGGAACAAAGAAGUUCCCUUGGUUAAAGUUCUUUGGCAGAAUUAGUUUGUUAAGAGUGCUACUUGGGAAUCAAAAGCAGAUAUGCGAGACAAGUACCCUCACCUCUUCUUUGAAAACUUAGAUCAAGCCAAAGGUGCUACUCUUCCUUGAUCCAGUUUUUUCUAAUCAUACGUUCAUCUAUACAGUUGUCCUCAUGUAAGUUCAUGCACUCACAGAAUUACUCAGAAGGUUAGAAUGAUUUAGAUUCAGUUGCUCAGUUCACUUUAGUUGUAUAUGCUAUCUUAUGCUCUCAUAUUCCCUAGAAAUUUCAGCUUAACUAGCCAUACUCGAGGAUGAAUGUUCCCAAGGGGGAGAUAUUGUACUAACCUGUGAUUUUUCCUAGCUUAAACUUAUCCUAAAAAUGAUAAAGAGCAUCUUCUAGAAUGAGUGAUGUUUAUUUCGUAUGGAAUUCCUUAGAUUUGUACAUUUUAUGAUGUAGGAAAUUGAAUUAGCUUUCCAACGAUAUAAGAUUCACCUAAAUCCGAUAAUCGGGUAAGAAGUUAUGGCUAUUUAAAGUUUCAGUCAUAAAACACCAUUAUCUAGACUCUUAGCACACCGCAGAGUAGUGACAAAUCCCAAUUGUCAUUUUCCAGUGGCUCUCCGCAAUACUGGCGCAUCACGGAGGGGACUAAUUUCCCAGUUGUCAAUUUCCAGAGGUCCAGCGCAAUAAGGCGCAUCACGCCAUGUGCCAAAAUGACAUUCCAAAGGGGCACCGUGAUGACACCACAUCGCGAAGUCUGCCCAGUUUCCAGUUGACAUUUUCCAGUGAGCCACAGUGCCGCGUUGCGAUGGCCACCCAGAUUGGGAAAAUAUAUAUUUUUCAGUUUCGUUUAAAAGUUUACAAGGGGCAUUUUGGUAAAUUACCCAACCCCCAAUCCAUCCAGAAAUAGAAGAUUUAUCAUAUUUGAGAGCACUUUAUGUUCCAUUCAUCAUUCUCUCUUAAACAAAAUCCUAAGGCUCAUACUUUCUCUCCAAGAAACUCAAGAAUUCCUCCAUUAACUCACCAAGAUAAGUUAAGAUUGAGGAUUCCCAAUACAAAAACACUAAGAAUUCAUCUCCAAAGCAUCCAUAAGAAUCCAAGAUUCAAGCCUUUCAUCAAAGAUCAUCAAUUCAGGUAUGUGGGGUUUUGAACAAGGAUAAAUCUUUCAUCCUUGUGCCCAAAAACUUACUUAAAAUUAUAAAUUUCUGAGUUUUGUAUGAUUUUCCAUGAAAUUUAAGUUAGGGUUGAUACCAAAUCCUCAUUAUUUUAGUUUAUGAAAUUAUUAUGAUAUUUAAGGCUCCAAUUGCAAGAAAAUUACAUAUGUUCAUGUUUGAAAUUAUAUGAUUCAUAUUAUGAGUUAUAUACCAUUAUCUUGACUAAGAUUGUUAAAAGUUUUAAAGAUGAUUAUUGAACAUGAAGUUUAAAUCUAAUUAUUGAUGUAAUUAUUAAUGCAGUAUAGCUUUAUACUUUGAGUCCUAAGUACCAUUGAUGAUUUUAUAAGGAGAUUAUGAUCUCAAGUCCUAUUUACAAGUUUUGAUUAAUGUUUUCAAAAGGAAAGAUUGAUAUUUUGAUCCAAGCUAAGAUAGAAGUCCACAUGAUUCAUAUAGAUUAUGAUUUAAAGCAAAGAAAAGCAUAAUUGGUUUUCAUUAUAAACCCUUAUGUUGUUUUAAGGUAGAUUUCCUAAAAGUUCUAAGCAAUAAGUAUGGGAGUAGUAUUUAACACCAAGUUAGGUAUGAUUCCAAGGUCUCAUGCCCCAGAAUUAUGAGCCACCGUAGGUUCUAAAUGCCCAUAAUAGAAUAAGAUAGUGAUCACUAAAGUUAAGGUUCCAUUCCAAUGGAAAGGGUAGAACUACUCUCCCCAACGUGGGAAAGACGUGGAAUCCAUGUCAGCUCACAUGUUUUAUGUCAGUUAGAAAAAACUCCCUGAGUCCCAAAGUCCCUAUGUCCCAAAGUCCCAAGAUUUCCAAAGCUCCUAAAACUUCUAAGUUUCAAAAGAAAAGAAUCAUAGAAAAGCUUUUGUAAGACUAAGUGUUAUAGCUCACUAGAUUUACAAGUAUGAUUUGUUAUACAUGAUUUUGUGUUUCGAUAUUUUAGAUAUUCAAGCUUAUAUGAGUCAUAUACAUCCAUAUGCAUUUACUUUCUAAUUAUGAUGAUGUUUACUUAUACAUUACACCCCCAUAUACUUAGUACAUCCUCAAAGUACUUAUCCACAUAUAUGUCUAUGUGCUACAUUAUCUCAUAAUGUAGGUUCAAGUGCUCAGUCUCAGCAAUGUGAGUGAUCUUUGAGCAUCUCUUCUACAUCCUUGCAGUUGGUAAGUCCUCAUAGUUCGAGGACUUAGAUGUUCAUACUUCCAGUUGAUUAACAUAUGUUCCAUCAUUCAUUUCAGAUAGUUGAGUCAGCUGGGGCAUAUCCCAGUGGCUCUCUAGACUUAGAUAAUAUAGGCUUGUCAAACUACUAGAUUUAGUAUUCAGAUUUCUAUUUUAGUAAAUAGAGUUUCAGCAUUUGCUUUAUCAUACUUUUGAGAUUAGUAUGAUUCAGAUAUACCCAGAUGAUUCAGACAACUUUUCGCAUAUAUUAUGAUUUUUCAUUUAUAUUUUCUCCUAUUUUGAGGUUUAAAUUUAUAAAAGGCAGCCAGGGUUAGCUCAGGACUACUUGUAGUUCGGAGCACCGUGUGGCAUCUCGGGAACUAGAUUUUGGGGCGUUACAGUGACAUAGGUUGCGGCCUAUUAUGCCAAGUUCCAUGCCUUACCCCACUAUGCUACACAGUUGUUGACUUUUGAGAAGGAGGAGAUUUACCUCUACAUCAAGGUUUUGAAUUAUGACCUUUAGGUAUUAUUUGUGUAUUUGACUUCAACAUAGAAAGGGUUCAAUAGAAUUUUUGACUAUGUAAAGAAGUUUGGGGGGAGAACGGUUUCCCAAGCAAUUCAGGAUAAGAUGUUAGCCAAGAAAUCUUACAAUGUUAGGAAUUUCAGAAGGUCUUACUCUAAAAUCCACAGUUAUCUGUAUUAUUCAGUCGGCCUUGUGAGCUUCCACUGUGGUCCAGUAAAAGGCUUUACUUAGGAAAAGUUGUUAGGAGCCGAGGGGAUUCUUACUCUUCAAUCAGUAUGCCCUCUCUCGAGUGAGUAUGUUAAUAUUAUGGUGCAGUUAGUCACUUUAGGAGGGAGUGGCUUAUGAGGUAGGAGAGGGCCCAAAUACAGCAAACUCAAGCAAUAUUUCCAGUAGGUAGAGGAGGAGGAGGUAAUAGUAAGGGAGGUCGAUAGGGUGGAUGGGAAAAUUAGUUAGUGGAUGAGGAGGUUGAAAAGGUGGUGAUAAGUGGAGGAUCAUGACCGAGAAAGAAGUUAUCUUAGAUUAAAGACCAGGCUCAUUAUUAUGCAUGUUUGAGAAAGACUAAUGCUGAGGCUUCUGAUGCAGUGAUCACAGGUACUAUUUUUUUGUGACCAAUGGAUUCAAUUUUAUUUGAUCCGAGGUCUACUUAUUCUUACGUAUCUAUCCAAUUUGCGGUGGGUCUAAAUCUGGUUUGUAAUGUACUUGAUUAUCCUAUUUAUCUGUCUACAUUUGUGGGUGAGUCUUUGAUAGCAACGCAUGUUUAACAUUCUUUCCCUGUAUUAUUUCUGGAUUUUCAGACUUGGGUGGACUUGGUUAUUUUAGAUAUGUUGUACUUUGAUGUAAUUCUGUGUAUGACUUGGUUAUCUCUAUAUCAUGUUGUUUUAAACUAUAAUGCUAAAAUAAUGACUCUGGUUAUGCUUAGAAUAAAGGAACUAGAGUGGGAGGGAGUGUAUAAGGCCACACCCGUAAAGGUUAUACGUAUGUUCGUGAUAGAAGACUAGUAAGGAAGGUAUGUUCAUUAUUUUUAUCUCAUAUUCGAGAUGAAGAUGCAGAAUCCUCUUCUGUAGAGAUGAUUUUGGUAGUAUUUUAAUUUCACAGUGUGUUUCCUUCAAACCUACCAGGUAUGCCUCCACAUAGGGAUAUCAAUUUUUGCAUUGAAUUAGACUUGCGCACUCACCCUAUUUCUAUUCCACAUUAUCGAAUGACUCUAAUGGAGUUGAGGGAGCUCAAAACUUAACUGCAGAAGCUACUUGACAAAGGUUUUAUUCAUCUAAGUGUUUCACCUUAGGUGCUCCAGUCCUAUAUGUUACGAAUAAAAAUGGUAUUAUGAGGAUGUGUAUUGAUUAUAGACAGCUGAAUAAGGUUACAUCCAAAAUAAAUAUCCUUUACCUCACAUAGAUGACUGAUUUGAUAAGUUACAUGGGGCAUUAGUGGUUUCAAAAAGUUUCUUUGAGGUCAGGUUAUCAUCAGUAAAAAAUUAGAUAGAGGACAUACCAAAGACAAUUUUUAGGAUUCGCAGUGGCCACUAUGUGUUCCUAGUGAUGUCUUUUCGAUUGACUAAUUCAUAUGCAAUUUUUAUGAGUUUGAUGAAUAGGAUCUUUAAGUAGUUCUUGGAUUCAUUUGUUAUUGUGUUGAUUGAUGAUAUUCUUGUGUAUUCCAACAGUAAAUAAGGGUAUGCAACUCAUCUUUACAUAGUUUUAGAGAUUCUAUAGGAGAAUUGAUUAUUUGCUAAGUUUUCAAAGUGUGAAUUCUGGUUGUAUUUAUUUACCUUCUUGGGGAUCGUGGUUUCUAAGAAAGUAGUGAUGGUGGAUCCCUAGAAGAUUAAGGCAGUAAAAAAUUAGAAUCGAUCUUCUUCAGUGACCGAGUUAAGAUGUUUUAUAGGGCUAGCUAUCUACUACCAUAGGUUUGUCAAGAAAUUCACAUCUACUGCAACAUACUUAACAAGGUUAACUUAAAAAGAAGUUCCAUUUGUUUAGUUAUAUAAAUAUGAAGAGAGCUUCCAAAAGCUCAAGACUCUCUUGACUUCAACACUUAUUCUUUCGCUGCUUGUUGAAGGUAAAGCCUUUAUUAUGUUUUGUUAUGCCUCACUCUAAGGUUUGGGUGUUGUGUUGAUGGAGGAUAAGAAUGUCAUUGCCUACUCUUCAAGACUGUUGAAGUCUCAUGAAAGGAACUAACUAAUGCAUGGCUUUGAUUUGGCAAUGAUGGUAUUUUAUAUUAAAUAUUUGGAGACAGUAUCAUUACAGUGCCAAAUACGAGGUCUUCAUGGACUACAUAGCUUGUAGCAAGUGUUUACUCAAAAGGAUUUGAACCUAAGGCAAUGGACGUGGAUGGAAUUGUUGAAGGAUCAUGAUGUGAGUAUUUAGUAUCGUCCAGGUAAGGCCAAUGUGGUGGAAAACACAUUGAGCCAAAAAUCUAUGGGUAUGGGUAGUUUAUUAUUUUUUAAGGUAUCAAAGUGACCAUUAGCUAGAGAGUUUCAAAAUCUAGCAUCUCUGAGCAUGUAGUUCGAGGUCUUAAAUAUGGGUGGUAUGUUUGCUACUUUAGAGGUAAAAUCAGCAUUCAUGGUGUAGAUUAAGACCAAGAAAUUUGAGCAUAAUAAGUUGAAUCCACUCUGGAAUAAAGUGGUGCACCGGGAGGUGGCAGACGACACUCUUAAUGCGUGAAGGGUGUUGUUGUUUAAGGGAAGAUCUUGAGUUCCCCGAGUUAUUGGCUGCUCAAAGUAGGCAAGAUGAGUAUUCCGACCUUAAGGUGACGGACAUAUUCACAAGGUUGGUGAGCAAGUUUUGCUCAAGGUGUGUCCUAUGUAGGGAGUUAUGGGGUUCGGAAAGAGGGAAAAGCUCAGCCCUCAAUAGAUAGGUCUCUUCGAGGUUCUUCAAAAAUGGGUCCAUCUAAUAUCGAUUAGCUCUACCACCAGGGUUGUUGAAAGUCCAUUUGGAAUUCUAUUUCUCAAUGCUGAAAAGGUACUAUAGGGAUGGUGACUACAUCAUUAAGUGUGAUUCGGUUGUUAUAAAUAAGUAUUUGGCUUACAAGAAGAAACCAGUAGCGACUCUAGAUCAGAAUGCUAAAAAAUUAAGGAUGAAGGAAAUUUGUUUGGUGAAGGUAUAAUGGAAGCAUCAUCCGGUUGAGAAAACCACUUAGGAGAUCGAGAAGGACAUACAAGAUAAGUACCCUCAAUUAUCAAAGGAUACAAGUACUCUCCUUCUUCUAUAUUUAUCUUAUAUUUCUUAUUUGAUCGAUCAAGAAUGAACAAUGGGUAAAUUGGUAUCUAUUUUUUAUCCUUUUUAAUGUUACAUAUAAGUCCUAUGUUUAAAAUAAUAUAUGCAAAUUUCUUCCAAUUUAGAAGUUACAAAUUUUAGGGUAGGCUAGUUUUAAGCAAUUUUGGAGUGAGGUGUGACCUAGGGAAAUCUGGUAAUGCUUUGGAUGUGGAUAGCAGUAUUUACCUUGAAUUUUAGUUAUCUAAGACAAUAAGCAACCCAUAGAAAUUUUUGGAAUCAAAUUUGGGUGAGAAAACCUUCAAAAAUUAAUCUUAGCAUAAAGGGCAAUGUUUGAAAUAUUUUAGGUUAAGGUGUGUUGUAAAAAAGGGGAUUUUUGGUUGAAGACAGACAUUUUGUCCUAUCGAUACAGCUAUAGUGGUUGGUAUACUGCUAUAGUGAUAGAAGCUAUAGUGGAAUAAUUUCGGCUAUUGAUGUUGCCAAAAACUACACCUCCACUAGAAGUAUAAUACGGUUGAUUGCAAAUAUAGUAACCUACCAAGGCUGGGGUCAAUCUCACAAGGAAGACGUGAACACUUGCUAGACUUAAGGUAAUCCACGAGCAGUACAGGAAAGUAAAUUGGGGGAUUUUGUUAUCAGUAGCAAAUGGUAACCAACUUUUGAGUGUUGUUUAGUUGAAAUCAAUAUAAGAUGAAUGCUAGGAAUGUGUUCCCCCUAGCUUCUCAACUACAUAAAUUUCUUAUGUUAAACCCAAUUAUUCUACUGUUCUGCAUGCAAAGCCUACAAGUUAGGUAUUAUCCAGAAGGAAAUUUUCACCCUUUGACUUGGCUAUCGUGUCAGAGUGUCGCCUUGUUGCCCCUUGAUACGGCUUCAGUCAUACUUGGCUAUAUACACUUGUCUUAAUCCUCGCUAUCCAAUUUCAAGCUUCUUGGUUAUUGAAUGGAUGUGAAUAUACUCUAUCUCAAGUGUCUGUGGCUACUCGAUGCUAAUUAACACAAAGGAGAAUUGAGAUACAUACAAAAACCCUAGAACAAUUGAAUCUCACACUUCCUACACAUAGCUAAUCAGUCAGGGUUCCCACAACCCUAGUUGAGGAUAUUAGCCACUCAUUUUUGUGAAAUAAACCAUGAUUAUUAAUGAAGGAUACAUAAAAUCAAUUUUCAAAAGAAGAAGAUGAAUAAACUCCAAAGUCUUUAAUUGAAUAAAAUCUUAAAAUCUCAAGAAAUAAUGUAGUAAUAAAUAAUUGCAUAUAAAAUAAUGUCACAAUGCUUAACCUAAUAAAAUAUAAACCCUAGGGUAUUUAUAGUAUCUCAAAAUAACACAAAAAUCCUAUCAAAAAUGGGAAAGGCAAAGUUAAGUCGGCAGUCAGUAUGACUCGGUCGUUACUCGUAUCCUUAGCUUAUGAGUAAUACCCUGCCUUGUCCUAACUAGUCCAGUGUCUAAUAUUCCUAUGGAUUCAACUCUCUGUUCAUCUUACAACUUCAUCUUAUGAGUCAUAAUAACGUAUAUGACUCGUGUCUUUGAUCCGUAAAUACCUGGGACUUUAGUCUUUUCAGGUCUUGAACACUGGUUGGGAUACGACAUCCCUAUACGAGUCAUACUCAAACUUUUGACUCAUAUCCUUCUUAUACUUCAAUUUCUGGAUGGUAUCUUGGAUUCUGUUAUGUCACGGCUUCUGUAUAUGACUCGUACCCUCGCUAACGACUGGGAUACUUGAGUCGUAUCUUCUUCAUACUUGGUUUCUUGAUUUGGAUUUUGGUAUCUGCUCCUCAUACGAUUCAUCAUACAAGUCGUAACGACUGGUUACGUCUCAAGAGCAGACUAGUAUACUGCUCAGAGUUGGUUUUUUAGGUUUUUUUCUCCUCUUUUCAUCCAAAUAAUGUUAUAAACCUGUUUUACGUGUAAUUCACACCAAAGUGCAUCAUAUCUAACAAAAACCUUAAGUUCAUGCAUAAACUCAUGGUUUUAAGCAUCGAAAGUGUUGUGUUUCCAUGCCACAUCAACACCCAUAACUUAGACUUUUGCAUGUCCUCAGGCAAACAAAACCACAUACUAUUUUCUACCCCUGAGUUUAUGCUUAAAAUAGGAAGAUCUUAAACAACCCAUGGAAGUGAUUCUGAAUUAAAUUUAAAUUUCAUUGUUCCCCUCUUAAUUUUAAUUUUUUCAACUCAAACUUGCGUAUAACAAUUCAAUACAUGAAAAAAACAAGAAGGGAACCGAUGAUGGCAUUAGCAAUAUAUACUCAGUCAUAGACCUAUUUUACAUCUGUCAAACAAUCUAGCAACUUAGCAACAUAACCCACAUGCACUCAAAGUUAAAGAAAUCUCAUUCUCUCCUCAUAUAUAUCAACUUAUUCUGAGAUAUAAUAGUUAACGCUCACUCUCAUAUCAAUGGUGUGCAUAGAAUAUCAUAGGCUUGCCCUUAUGGUCUUUUCCUAAGCUUUCAAAUAGUUGUGAUAGGAUCACUAUAGGACUUUAUUUAGCUUGUAACGUAGGCUAGGGGCUGGUAGGAUAUCUUAUGGGGAUUCUGCUAGUGACUAAGCCUACUGGACACUACGAUUUUCAUGGGGCACAGAAAUUUUUCCACUUAUUCAUUUAUUUCCUCCUUUAUAUCUCUUUUUUCUUUUAAGCAUAUUCCAAUUAGGUCAGGCACUGUUUCGGUGCGGGCCGCGAGAGCGGUACCAAAUCGAGGCAAACUCUGAAUACUAGGUAUGGCCUUAAAAUUAAAAAAGAGGGGUAAAAGGCUUUGCUUUUCUAGUGCUUAUUUUUCUCAUUCUUUUUUUCUCUACUUCGCACUUUUAUUAGCUUGCUCUUUAUCAAACCUACCCAUGAUUCAACCAUUUUUCUUAUAUCCCCUAUCUUCAUACAUGUUUUUCUCUCACGCACCCCUAUAAUAGCCACCCUCAACUUAGGCUAUUUUCCUGAGUUUAGGUUCUCAUUAUCUACAGGAGGACUAGGGUCAAAAACUGGUUUAUUUAGCUAAUGGGAAGGUGAUAAGUGUAACAAGAAAAUUUGGUUCCAUUAAAGCUCAAAUAUUUGGAUCAAAGGGAUUUGUUCAUUUGGUUCAGGCAUUUUAGGCUCAAGUGGACUCAUACAAAAAAGGCCUAUGAUCACAUCCUACCUAACCAUCCUAAACCUCGGUAAAAGUAAUCGGGAAAGUUCUAGAGUCCAACACAACUAGGAAUUCAGUAAUCCUUACACACACUUGCACAGGGAUGCAUUACUAAGUGCUAGUUAUCCAACUCUUCACUUGUUUUGUUCUUACCUAUACUAUCCCUAAUCCUAAUGCUAUUAUCAGAUACUCAACAUUCUCAACCAUAUAUACAACUCACGUAAUUUCUAAAAGAAAUAUUUGAGGGGCUUAACAUUUUCAACUCUUUAGCACAGUUAACAAUACUUUUCACAAGAUCAGUUUAAAAAUCCACAACAAUCAGCAGCAUUUCAUCAAUCAAAAAAGAAAUCAAAAUCAAAAUCAAAAUCUUUAAGAACAACCCAAAUUUUUAGAAUUCAUAAUAAUCAUAGUUAAAAUCAAAAAACAUCUGCUGUCAUCAGUGUGCUAAUAUAAUCCAUAUCUCAGUUGUCUGCAUCAAACUUACAAGUCAUAACAGACUUUUAGUUUUAGCUACAUCUAACAACUUUCAAACUGCUCCCAAAUUUUUGGUACACCACCCCCAACUUAAGAACAUUGCACUGCCCUUAGUGCAAAAAAUAAUUAACGAAGUAGGGAUAAAAAUCAUACCUAGGCGCUUAAAGCACUGGAGCAUCAAUAUCAGCAUGUGGGCCCUUAGGUCGGGUCUCACUCUCCUCAGCAACUAUCCCAACUGGGAUUAGAUCAUCAACAGGCGGGGGCACAACAUCAACCUCCUUAGCAUCCGAAACCGGAGCAGUCAAACUACCCGCUCCUAUAGACAUCUCCUGGACCCGUGUCUAAAUGUCCUGCUCAUCCUGAUUCUACCUAAUUUGGCAUUUUUCUUCACAACUUUGGCCUCAUUUCUCUUUCUUUUUUUUCUAUUUUCUCUUCCUCGAUCUGCUCACCCUACUCAUCUAUCUGUACCACCUAAAUAUUCGGCACCUUGACUGUGGGAAUCACAGUCUCUAUAAUAGGAUCGGUAACCAUCAUCCUCAUAGACAUCUCAACAACCAUUACUUUUAUUUCAGUAAUCUAAGGUCGGAGCCUACUACCUAGAUAUCGAGUGUCCACAACUCAAAUGCAUUGAGGUGCUCUUGUACACACCUAUCUUGUACCUCCAGUUUUCGUUUCCUCCAUAUUUAUACUCCACCUUCUAUGUUGUUGCUUUUGUAGUAAGUGUAGCCAACUGUGUCACUACCUCUAUCCAUGUAGCCAGAGAAAUCAUCAUCACACUAGGAGGUAUCCUUCAUGGCCUAGAUGGCAUAGACUAGACUGGCGGUGGGGCACUCAAAGUACCUACUGCAUUUAUGGGUGCAGUCUCAGCCUGUGUAGCUGUCUCAACAUUAAAAGCAGCAUCAGUCUGAUCCUCAUAUGGGAAGGCUCCCACCAUAGCAUCUGUUUCCUGUCUUAUAGUCUUGGCUAAUGGGUUAGCUACAUUACGAAUUAAGCCAAUAUAUCUCUUACCACAUCAACACUCAGAAUCUUUAAUACACCCACAGCUAAAUAUAUCUGGCAAUCGUGCAGGGGUGUGCUAGAAAUGACUCCUACUCUACAAUAGUGCUAUCUCUUAAUUCUCGGGCUAAAAACUCACCAACAUUAAAAUCAUAUCCGAGUAUAAACCUUGCUAUCAUUUUAUCCCGGAAUGGGCUUAGAACAUCAUCCCCUAUAGUUGGACAUAGCCUGUGAUGGGCUAUAAUCCACCAAGCCUCACCCUCAAAGUUGAGGGUACCCUUCUUUAUCUGUUGUGACUCCGCAAUACCAUCUACAAUCGAAGUAAACUGCGGGACAUAUGUAGCUAUCCUCUCAGCUAUCCACUGGAUCAUCACCAUCUUGUCCUCAGUACCUAAAGUUUGGUUGGUGAUCUUCCAUAUUUCAGCCAUUUUGUACUCCAUUUCUAUUAUGUUAGCCAGGGCCAUAUAUAUUAGUCCAUACAUAAAUCUUCUAAAUAUUCGAGGUGAUAUAUCCACCCAAACUCCAUGAAUCAUUAGGAAAGUAACAGGGUCGCCUCCUUUCACAGCAUGCCUUGUGGAUAUUGCCGCAUCAACUCACCCUUAUAGGUGACAUAGAACUCAUGGACUAACAUCUCAUUAUACCAUCCCGAUGUUCUCAUCAUCCAGUCAAAACUAUAUUGUCUAAAGUGUUUUGAAAAUUUGGGCAAUUUAUCCAUACCCAUAAUAGUCAUCCAUCUGUCCUCAUACAAAACUAUUUUGAUCUUUCCUCCCGGUAGCUGAGACAACCCUGUGUCAAACGUCGCCUGCAUACCGGGGUAACCCUAUCAUUCUAUAAUGGGCACCAAAGUAGGGGCUAGUGCAAGUGGGGGGUCAUGUCUUUCUAUUGGGGUAACCUCUACCUCGAGACCCCACCCUCGUUUGAACUUUCUUCAGCUGAACUGGAUUCAGCUUUAUCAUUAACAUCCUCAUCUUUAUCAUCCUCGGGUUGUGGUAUGUACGGUAGAAAGAUAGUUGUGUUCUUUCAUUGUGGACCCUUAGGUGGUAGGGUUUUAGAUUCUUAGGGAACUGUUUUCUUACCUUUAGCUUUAGCUGCUACUUUUCCUUUUUAUGCAUCAUUCUUAGAUGCAGUCCCAGUAUAUUCUUCCCCAUGACUUUUAGUCUAGUUUACUGAUACGCUGGUCUCUUUACUUUCCACUGGCUUUUGCUUAUUUCCUUUCUUUGCCAUAGUUUUGGAUGAAGACACAUUCUUUGGAGGCAUUUUUCCUGCAAAUAUACUAAAGUUCAUAACUAAGAAAAGAAAAAAAAACAAAAUUCAAAAUGAUAGUUCAAUGUGCCUUGUUCCAGUUGGGUACGAGUGGUGAAAAUUGGUCGUACCCAUUGGGUACGACUCGUAUACCUGAGUCGUAACGUAGAAAAUUCAUGAUCAUUAUUUACUAUCUAGCUUAUGACUCCUCCUCACCAGUCGUAUCGAUUGGUUAUGACUCGUGACCAACAGUCAUAAACUGGUCAGAAACUUUUAUUCAAGUUAUUUUCUUCCCAGGUGGGUACGAUAUAUAUGUACGAGAUGUAAGGUCUAGAUACAAUUCGUAAGGUUGAGACAUAUCCAUUCUAGAACUUUGAAUUUAUUAGAUUUCCAUGUUGAUAGUGGGUAUGAGUCUCAUUACAACUCUCAUACCCGUGGGUAUGAGUCAUAAGGAAUCUCGUAUCCACUGCAACAUAGAAGUCCAACUUUCAAAGUUUGACUCCGAUGAAAUUCCCAAUUUACCCACUACUUUAUUCAGCUAUAUCCAGCAUUUUCAACACAUAAACACACAAAAACCUAUUUCUAAACCCUUCUUCAUCCCCAUUUUCAAGUUUCAACACAAAUAUCUAAAUUAUGUCAUCAAUCUACCAAACAUAUGCAUAAAUUGUACUUAACCCAUGAAUACCAUAGCAUAUAUUACUCAAUUGACUUUGUAAUGCCAUAAAAAUAAUUUGAAAACUUACUUGGUCAGUGUAGAAUGGAGGAUUUCAACUUUCAAUCGUAGUGGCCUCAAAUUCGAGUUAAAAAUUGCACCAAGUGAUUGAUUCAAAGUUGUUGGUACGUAGAUUUAGUUGGGAACAACUUGAUUUUGCAGAUUGAAGUUCAAAAUUUUUGGAGGAAAAUUGCAGGGAUGAGCUAAGGUUCUUAGGUGGCCUAUCGGGUCAAAUUUUGCUAUUUAAAUCAUAGGUCUGGGCUGGGUCAAACUUAAGAUCUGACCUAGUAAAUUGGGGUGUGAUUGGUUUAUACGGCUCGUACCUAAUUUUAUAGGUUAUUUCUUUGACUCGUAUUGACUGAAAGAUUACCUGAGUUCUGGAGGGAUAUGAUUCUUGUUCACGACCCUUAACCAGAGGCUACGAGUCAUAUCAAGAGUUUUAUUCAUUCCCAAACUUAAUUUCUAAUUUUUACUAAUCUGCCAGGUCAUUACGAUUCUUACUCACGAGUCGUACCGUAUAGAUACAACUCAUAAAGAGUCCGUAUGAUACCCUUUUAUCAUUUCUAGAUUUUAGUUGCAUUCUUUUAGUCCUGUAUAUUAAACAAAUAGAUUACCCUAUAAAUUAAAUAAUUACAAAACCAUGGGUUGCCUCCCACACAGCGCUUGAUUUAACAUCGUGGCACGACGUGGUUAGGUUGGUUACUCAAAUUUCACCAACUAGCCUCAUGACUUGCCUCCUAUGCAACACUUGAUUUAAUGUCGUGGCACGAUGUAAUUGCCUUUAUUACUCAGACUUCAUCAAGGUCACUAUCUACUAGCUCCUUCACUUUUUUGCAUUUCCCAUAUAGUUCUUUACUCUGUGUCCAUUUACCUUGAAUGGAUUUGUACCAUCCUUCAUUAUUUCUAACACCCCAUAGGAAUACACUCUUGUCACAGUGAAUGGACUAUGCCACCUAGACUUUAGCUUUUCAGGAAACAAAUAAAGUCUAUAAUUAUACAGUAGCACUUGGUCACCUUUUUCAAUACCUUUUUCUCAAUCUUCCUGUCAUGAUACAACUUCUUGUCUUCCUUGUAAAGUGUUCGACUUUCGUAUGUCUGAAGCCGGAAUUUGUGUAACUCAUUUAUGCCAUUAAACCUAGAUUUAGCUACAUCUUUCAACUCUAAAUUCAGCGCCUUCAAUGCCCAUAGUGCCUUAUGCUCAAGCUCAAUUGGUAAAUGGAAAGAUUUUUCAUACACAAUUUGAUAAGGUGAAGCACCUAUGGGGGUUUUAUAAGCUGUAAAAUAAGCCCAUAAUGCAUCAUCUAACCUUAUUGCCCAAUCAGUCCAAUUGGCAUUCACGGUCUUCGCCAGUAUUGACUUGAUUUCUCUAUUGGAUACUUCAACUUGUGUACUAGUCUAUGGAUGAUAAGUUGUUACCACCUUGUAAUUCACUCCAUAUAUUUCCAGCAGACUCUUGAAUAGAUGAUUACAAAAAUUUGACACUCCAUCACUAAUAAUAGCACGUGGCAUACCAAAUCGAGGAAAGAUAUUAUUUCUCAAAAAUACUAUGACACUCUUUGCUUCAUUGUUAGGAAGUGCAGUUGCUACCACCCACUUCGACACAUAGUCAACAACUACAAUUAUGUACUUCAUGCCAUACGAACUUACAAAAGGCCCCAUGAAAUCUAUGCCAUAUACAUCAAACACUUCUAAUUCUAUGAUAGGGCUCAUAGGGAGUUCAUGUCUUCUAGUAAUAGUACCUUGUCGUUAGCAUUAAUUGUAAGCAGCCGCAUAGUCACAUGCAUUUUUGUAUAUGGUCAGCCAAUAGGAUCUGCAUUGUAGGAUUUUAUAAGAGGUUCGAGUCGCUCCAUAAUAACCCCUAACUGGCAAUGAAUGACACGCCUCAAGUAUACUCCUUAUCUCUACCUCAGGUAUGCAUCUAUGAAUGAUUCCAUCUGCAUAAAUUUUAAAUAGAUAAGGUUCAUAUGCUAAAAAUUUUCUUAACUCAUGCAUGAACUUCUUUCUUUGCUGAUAUGAAAGAUGUUCUGGGAUUAGAACACUUGCUAAGUAAUUUGCAAAGUCUGCAAACCAUGGAAUCAAAUCUUAGGAAGCUUCCAAUAACUGCUCAUCUGGAAAGCUGUCAUCAAUCUCCAAACCCUUAUCAAUCAUCUACAUAGAUUCCUCCUCUAACCUAGACAAAUAAUCUGCUACUUAAUUCUCUAUACCUUUUCUGUCCUUUACCUCGAAAUCAAAUUCUUACAAGAAACAGCACCCGCCGAAUAAGCCUUGGCUUUACAUCAUUUUUAGCCAUUAAGUACAACAAUGUUGCAUGAUCGGAGUGCACAAUCACCUUUGUCCCAAUCAAGUAAGAUCUAAAAAUUUUAAAGGCAAAAACUAGUGCCAAUAACUCUUGCUCAAUCAUGAUAUAGUUCUUUUAAGCAGGAUUUAGUGCCUUACUAGAAUAGUAGAUGGAAUGAAAGAUCUUCUCUUUUCUUUGGACUAGUGCAUCCCCUAAAGCCGAUCUGCUAGCAUCACACAUAAUUUUGAAAGGUAAAGACCAAUCCGGAUACACAAUGAUUGCAGCAGACACCAAUUUCUCUUUUAAGUUUGCAAAUGCCUUGUUACAGGCUUCAUCAAAAUUGAACUUUACUUCUUUCUCAAGAAGCUUGCAAAAUAGACUAGCAAUCUUUGAAAAACCCUUGAUAAAUCAUCUAUGAAACCUGCAUGCCCUAGAAAACUCCAAAUUCCCUUUAUAGAAAUUGGAUAAGGUAAUUUUUCAAUCACCUCCACUUUUGGUAAAUUAGCCUCUAUUCCUCUCAUUGAAAUCUUGUGCCUAAGCACAAUUCCUUAUUUAACCAUGAAAUGGCACUUUCCCCAAUUAAAUACCAAACUACAUUCUUCACACCUCUGUAGAGAUUUUGUUAAGUUCUUUAGACAUUCAUCAAAAAAGUUCCCUACAACCAAAAACUCAUCUAUAUAAACUUCAAUGGUGCCUUCCACCAUAUCAGAAAAAAUGGACAUCAUAUAUCUCUAAAAUGUGACAGGAGCGUUGCGUAGCCCUAAUGACAUUCGUUUGAAUGCAAAGGUCCUAUAAGGACAUGUAAAGGUGGUCUUCUCAUGGUCUUCCGGUGCAAUCAUGAUUUUAUUGUAACUGGAAUACCCAUCAAUAAAACAAUGCCAUCCUCCGUCUACUAAUCUGUCCAUCAUUUGAUCCAUGAACGACAUCGAAAAGUGGUCCUUCUAAAUCCAAGCAUUUUACUUUCUAUAAUCCAUGCAUACUCUACAUCUAGUGACUGGUCUCAAAGGAACUAGCUCAUUCUUCUCAUUAGACACGACGGUUAUUGAUAACGCUCAACUUAAACCUUAUUUAGUGCAAGGCAGUCAUCGUCAAUAUAUUUACCCAAAUUUGGAGUCCGGGUCGAAUCCACGGGGAACAAUAUGAGUGGCGAUUAAAUCAAAUUAAAACUAUAGCUACAAGUUGAAUUCAAAUGCAUGAUACGAAAAGAUAAAGUGGGGGUUUUUAAUGAUUAGCAAAUAAUUGUUGGUCACUCUAGUUUCAGUGUUUGUAAAUCAAGAGUCUAUGAAAUAACCAGAAUUAUGUUCACUAAGGCUUCCGGUACAUGACAGAUGCUAGAAGCGGUUCAAGAUUCUCAUGGUGGGUAGGAUAACAAGCUAUAUUUAUUGUUGUUAUGCUUAAUUAUCUCUCGACCUACUUAAGCGUUUCAUUCUCUAAUCCUCUUGAACAUAGGGAAUUUCUAUUUACUGCCCAGAUUUAACCUCAGGUUAACCAACCUUGUUAUAGCGUUGAUUAUUAAACGAAGUAUUUCCGAGUCCCUUUUGAUAAUUCACUUCCUACUAUAUUUGAUUUCUUUCUCAAGCAAACCAAAGCAAGCAUGUCUACUGUUUUCAACCAACAUACGUUAAUUAAAACUUCAGAAUUAUCAAGAAAUCCUACCGUCUUUUGAAUCCUGAAUACUUAGCACCUCAUCAAGACCUAACCCUAGAUUCCAUAACUCAAGUUAAUGGAGUUUAUCCACUCAUGAUGUAAUGAAAGAAACACAUAAUUGAAUUCAUGAUUUGAAAGAUAAACUUACAGAGCAAUGAAAAGCAAUAAUUGUUUCUUCGAUUCAAUCACUAAAUAACUCCACAAAAAGCAAUAGUAAUCUCUCACAAGUUAAUGGUGAUAGUUAUCCAAAACUAGAGAGAGAAAUACUAAAGUUCGUGAAGUUCCAGAUGUCUAAGAUUUCUUCUCCUUUUUAAUGAAACCCUAAAAGAUGCUAUUUAUAGCUGUAACUUAAAGGAAAUUCGGAAUAAAAAUUUUUGAAAUUCGUCCCUUAGAUGACUCAAACUCUUAAGAAAAACCUAGACUUGUCCUUCAAUACUUAGAUUCUCCCUAGUAAGACUAACAUAACUGCUAUAGUCAAUCCAUCUCAUCAUAUCAUUUUAUUUCCCAUAGACGACACUGUCUAGGAUCACUCAUCACAAUAGUAUAAAGUGUCUGAAGCUUUUUUUCUCACUUGUCAAAUUUUGAUUCUUGCAACUAAAGUAAUUUAUUCAUUGAUUUCACUAGAAUUUCAUCACAGAGAAUUUACUGGAGAUACUGCAAUUAAUGUGAUCUGUUCAUUGGUUUCACCAAAAAUUCAUCACAAGAUUCCACAAUUCAAGUUAUAUGUUCAUUGAUUUAGCCAAAAUUCAUCCUUUUUAAUAAAUACAUGAUCUGCUUAUAAGUACCUGAAUUGUGUUUGAUGAAAUUUUGAACUAAUUUCUAUAACUAAAUCUUGUUUAAAAGUUUAAAAAAAGUCCAAAAAGAAAAUAAUAAUGAAAAAUUUGAAAAUCUCUCACUUCAGAAGUAAAGAAAAAAUGAAAAUAAAGCAAUUAGAAAACAAGCUAUCCAAACCAAUCAAAUUAGGCUUAAUCAAAUAAAAAAUAAAAUAGAUAAAUUUUUUUACAAAAAAUAAUGGAUCUCACUCUCAACCUGAAAACUCAUUAUAGGAGAGAAAUCCAAAUAGAGAACCAAAACUACUGAAGAUCAAAUAUUAAUAGAUAGAAAUUAAUCAAUUUCUUCCAGACAGAUAUGUGAAGUUCAAAGUCAGUGCUAACAUUAAUAAGAAAAAUCACUUAUUUAAAAUGAGUAAGUAAAACCAAAAUUAUUUCUUUUUUGACAUUUUUAAACUUUUAACAAGAUUUAAUUACCAAAAUUAGUUAUCAACUUUAUCAAACAUGAUUCAAGUACUUAUAAGUAGAUCAUGUAUUUGUUAAAAAGGGAUGAAUUCUAGCUAAAUCAAUGAACAUAUCACUCGAAUUGUGAGAUCUCAUGAUGAAAAUUCUAGCAAAACCAAUGAACAAAUCACAUUAAUCGCGGCAUCUCUAGUAAAUUAUCUGUGAUAAACUUCCAGCGAAACCAAUGAAGGGAUCACCUUAAUUGCAAGAAUCAAAAUUUAACGAGUGAGAGAUAGAGCUCGGGAGAUUUUAUACUAUAGUGAUGAGUAAUCCUAGAAAAUGUGGUCUAUGAAAAAUAAAAUGAUAUGAUGAGCUGGAUUAAAAAUAGUAGUUAUGUAAGUCUUAUCAAGGAGAAUCUAAAAUCAGAUUACAUAAUUUAGUAGUUGUUAGACCGAAGCACACUAGAAUAAGAAAAACAAUUAUAAAAAUUGAUAAUUAAAUUUUGUAGUCAAAGACUAAUGAAUGAAUUUACUCUUGUUCUAAAGACAUAACAAUAUUUUAGUAAAAGAUUUAUGUGCACUCAGUGUUUAUACCAACUUAGUGAAAGCAUGAAAUAUAUAUUAACUUAUCAGCAGAUCAAAAUAGUUUUGAAGGAUGAAUCAUGCAAUUAAAUACACCAGACAAAAUUAUAUACAAAUACAAACAAGUGUACAGUUUACAAAUUAGAGAACGGUUGCUCCAUCGGCAAAAUAUAAAAUUUACAAUUUAGAGAACGAUUGCUCCUUCAGCCAACAUAAAGAAAAAUUAGGAGUACAAAAAGUCAGCAAAUCAAAGAGGUUUUUUCAUUCCAUCACUUUUUGUGUAGAUAUGAUAGGUUCAUGAUCAACAACUUGGAAGGACGCUGCAUACAAGAUCAAGAAAUAAGUUUAUCAGAAUAUAAUGGGCCCAACAAAAAUUAAUGGAGAAAUAAAGUAUUCUCCAUUACAGGCUUGGAAAGUUUUCUAGUUAAUUGGAAAACUAGUUAUAUUUUGUAAUAUUUCAAAGAGCAUUUCUGGAGGGGUUUUGAUCUUAGGCGUAUUUAUACUCCUAAGUGUCAUUAUUUAUAAGCAUUUAGCUUAAUUUUGAGGAUAAUUUUGUGUGCUUAAUGGGUAAUUAAUAGUAUAACCGUGUAAUUAUGUGUUGAAGUACAUUUUUAGGAUGUUCAUGGUGCAUAUGAAACAAGUCAAGAGUCAAAAUGAUGAAAUAGAUUUUAGAUGAGAAAACUAGUGGUGCUAGCUUGAUAUAUGCUUGUUCUAGUGUACUUUGAUGAGCUCUAUUGUGAUGUAUGAACUAAUUCUCAUUAUAUGAUGUUGUAGGAUACCAUUGGAGUUGUUUUUAAAGCUAAUUAAAGCCUACAAACAAUUCACAAGAAAUUGGAAAACAAGGAUCAAAUGUAUGAGAAGAUGAGAGCUAAAAUAAAGCAAAAUACCACCUUUUUUGAGACGUCUUGCACCGCACCCCCAAAGCAAGUAAUGGGAUAUGCUCCAUAUCCCCUAGGGAAACCCCAAACUGCCUAACUUUUUUUGGGUGAGCACCACAUCCCCUAUAUCCAACCUUUGACCUUGCGGCACGCGACCUCUCUCAAGGUGUCCAAAAGUUGAUUGUUAAGUCAGUUAAGUAAGGGACAAUAUGGUAAAUAAUGGGUUAAUUAGCAAACCAAAUUAGUUUGACUCAUUCCAAUCACGAGGAUCAGCUACGCGAUCGUAACGACCAGCCUUGUUAUCGAUCAAUGUUGACCCUAAUGAUCAUGAGGUGGGGGGCGCGAUUGUGAGGCACUAUUCACUAAACAGUACAAAAUCUUUUUUUUAUGUGUUUUCUUUAUUUUGGAUCUUUGAGAUUUCAAUUUAGGUAAUUUUUGAGGGUUUCUUCAUCAUUUAAGCUUGGGUAAGCUACAAAAUCUUAUUCCCAUUACUCUUCAUCAAUUAUAUUGAUAUGUGAGCAUAUGCUAACACAUUUGAGGCUUUUAACUCUAAAUAAUUGCAAGGUCUUGAGAAACUUUAGUUAUUUUUAAUUAGUUUAUGUUUGAUUUUGUAGUUUAAGCUGAUAUGAUAGAGAACCAACAUGAAAUGAAGCAAAGAAGUUGAAGUUUGAAGAAAUCUGAAGACAAAUGUGGCUGACGACAUUUGUGAUAAGUCAUUAGCCCUAUGAUAAGCUAUCAGGUUGGUCGUCAUCAGUAGACAGAGAAUUGUCCUAAAGUGGAAGUUGUGACGAUAUUUUGUGAUAAGCUGUCAAGGGUCUAAUAAGUUAUCAAGAAUAUCGUCAGCCUAAGGUAGCCAAGGAGAACUGAAGCAAAGCCUUGACGAUAUUUUGUGAUAGGCCAUCACGUAGCUGAUAGGUUAUCAAGUUUGUCAUCAGCCUUAAGCAGGAAGAGCCCAAAAUUGAAGAAGAAGCUGACGACAUUUGUGAUAAGUUGUCAGCUUCCUGAUAAGCUAUCACAAAUGUCGUCGGCUAAUCCGAAGGAUUUCUGAUUUUUAUUAAUUUUUUUCCUUAUUUAGGGUAAACUAUUUAAAGCUUUGUCUUAGGAUUUUCUAGAUAUGAUUAUUAUUAUUAUUAUUCCGCACAAGGUAGACACCUGGUGUUUUGGACAGUAUAUUUUGAUAUUUUCUCUCUUUACUUCUUGACUUUAACAACACAACUAUUUUUGAGAGAUUAUUAUCAAUAUUUUAGGAUUUUUUCUUUGUGAUCUAAUCUGCGAUUCACUAGUUAUUAUUUAUCUCUAUAAGUUUAUCUUUCAAAUCAUGAAUUCAAUUAUGUGUUUAGUUCAUUACAUCAUGAGUAGCUAAACUCCAUUAACCUGAGUUAUGGAAUCUAGGGUUAGGUCUUGAUGGGGUGCUAAUUAUUCAAGAUUCAAAAGGUGGUAGGAUUUCUUGAUAAUUCUGAAGUUUUAAUUAAUGUCUGUUGGUUGCAAACAGUAGACACACCUUCUUUGAUUUGCUUGAGAAAGAAAUCAAAUAUAGUAGUAAGUGAAUUAUCAAUAGGGACUCGGAAAUACUUCAUUUAAUAAUCAGCGUUGUAACAAGGUUGGUUAACCUGAGGUAAAAUCUGGACAGUAAAUAGAAAUUCCCCAAGUCAGAGAAGAUUAGGGAAUUAAAUGCUUAAGUAGGUCGAGAGACAUUUAAGCAUAACAUCGAUAAAGAUAGCUUGUUAUCCUACCCACCGUGAGAAUCUUGAACCACUUUUAGCAUCUUUCAUGUACCGAAAGCCCUAGUGAACAUAAUUUUGGUUAUUUCAUAAACUCUAGAUUUACAAACACCGAAAAUAAAGUAACAAACAACAACUUGUUAAACCUAAACCCCCCCAUUUUAGGAAACAUUAAACUAUCAGUGGAUUAAAUCGUAAACAAAUUGAGUUCACACCAUAUUUCCUAUGGAAUUAGACCUCAACCUAGUUGGAUUUUAUAUUGACAACGAUCACUUACACCCAUUCAAGAGUGUAAUUUGAGCAUCAUCAAAAAUGGCACCGUUGCCGGGGAAUAUGGUUGUAAGCUAAAGUUUGUAUGCGUUAAUUGACUGUUAGUUAAGUUUCCUAGAUUUACGUUUAUUUGUUGUUUUUGUUUAUUUGCAGGAUUUUAUAGUGUAUGCCAAGCACCAGAAGUUCUGGAGAAAUAUUAUUACCACUAAAUCCAAAAUUGCAACGAAUAGGAAGAAUGGCAGAACAAUAAGAGGCUAACAGACUGGCAGCCUUAGCUAGAGCUCAAGUGAAUGUGCAAAAUGUCGGGCAAGAGGAAGAGAAGUUAUUAAACCCUGGUAACCCAAGGCAUGCAGAGCUGAUAGCUACACAAGUGUCACGUAAUGUUAAUCGGAAUCGUUCAUUCCAAAAAAGACAAGAGUACUAGCUGGCCCAGUAUGAUCUUAAAGAUAAUGAUGAUGGCAUAGAUGGGGUAGGUACAACGGGUGUAAUUAUUCCUCCACCGUUGGCACCUGGAGCCAAGUUCAACAUUACAAGUACUAUGAUCCAAUUUCUCAAUAUAAAGAGGUUUUUUGAUGGCCUUCCUGACGAUGAUCCGAACCUAUAUCUGGUGAAUUUUGUCACCAUUUGCAAAUUUUUUGAUAACCUAGGAGUGGGCCAGAACACUAUACGGUUGAGGUUUUUCCCAUUGUCUCUAUCUGGAGAGGCAACAUUGUGGCUGAAUGAGCUUACGCCUGAUUCCAUCACCUACUAGAGAAAAUUGAAAGAAGCGUUCCUAGAAUGGUUUUUUCCACCCUCCAAGAGGGUACAGUUGAGGGAUGAAAUCAGCAAUUUUAGAUAGCUCCCUACUAAAGCUUUGCAUGAUACUUGGGAGAGAUUCAAGAAGAAGCUAACACAGUAUCCGAACCAUAAUAUGACGGACCUACACUUGAUGGAGACUUUAUACAGGGCCCUCAACUCUGUAACAAAGACGAUUGUAGAUAAUGCUGAUGGUGGUUCGUUUAUUGAUCUAUCUUUUUAAUAUGCCUUAGAUAUGCUAAAUAGGAUGGUCAGUCUUGGCAUACCAGGGAGCCUAUGGUAGCAAACCCCAUUAUUUUUGUUGGUACGUCUGCUGAACAAUGCAGGAGAGAUAAGGAGUGGGAUCAAGACAUAGCCCAUCUAAAAACUCAGAUGGACUUUCUCACCAAGCACUUAUUGUCAGGGAAGACUAAGAAAGUGAAAGCUGUAACGUCUUAAAACUGAGUGGAUGUGGAUCCUGAAGAAGAGGCAAAUUAUGUUAGUAAUUAGGGGGGUUUUCAAGACAAUAGCCAAGGGAAUCAAAGUCGAAAAGUUUAUGACAAGCCUGGUUACAAAGAUAGGGAGCAAGCAAACUAGAGAAGAAAUAAUGACAGGAGUGGUUUGUAUGUUCCUCCUAGAAAUUGGGAAGCUGCUACAACUAGCUCGGGAAAGAUGUCCAUGGAGGACAUGAUGAAGAAAUUAUUGAAGGGAGUUGAGGCCACCAACUCUGGAGUAACCACUAUGAAGACUGAUCUGACAUCCAUCAGUCAGUUGGUGCACUCACACUCCACUGCCAUCAAACAGUUGGAGUAGCAGAUGAGCUAAAUUUUAGCUGCAUUCAACCAGAGUAAAAGUGGAACUUUACCGAGUGAUACAGUUUAUAAUCUGUGGAAUGAUGGCUCAUGAAUGGCAUUAACACUAGGAGUGGUAAGAUAUUACCUGGCCCUUCUGUAUGCAAAUCUGUAGAUGGUGAGGUAAUUGUUGAUGAAUCUGAAAAAAGCAAUCCAGUAGAGUCUGAGAAGCUGGAUAGUUCUAUUAAUGCUUUGGAGAAGGAAAGAGAGAAGAAAGAGGAAGUGAUGUUGAAAACUAUCCCAAGACCAGCACCUCCUUUUCCUCAACGAUUGAAAAAGAAGGAUGAUGAUGCAAAAUAUAACAAAUUCAUGGCAAUGCUCAAGCAAUUGACAAUAAAUGUGCCUUUGGUUGAGGCACUUGAGCAAAUUCCAGGAUACGCAAAAUUCAUAAAGGACCUUGUGACUAAGAAAAGAGCUGUGAGCUACGAAUUAGAGGAAAAUCUCCACCAUUAUAGCGUUAUUUCUACAAGAACCUUGGUGUAGAAGAAGCUAGACCCGGGUGCAUUCACUAUUCCCUGUACAAUUGGGACUAUGGAAUUCUCCAAGGCAUUAUGUGAUCUGGGAGCAAGCAUUAAUUUGAUGCCACUGACUGUUUAUAGAAAUUUCGGUCUGGGAAAUCCCACACCCAGCAACAUGCGACUCGUGAUGGCGGAUUGGUCAGUAAAGCGACCUGUUGGCAUUUUGUAUGAUGUGUUGGUGAAGGUGUCUAACUUUAUAUUCCCUGUAGACUUCGUCAUUCUGGAUUGCGAGGUGGACUUCAAGGUGCCCAUAAUUUUGGGUCGACCUUUCUUCGCAGCCGAAAGUGUGUUGAUUGAUUUGAGAGUGAAUAAGCUCUUAUUCAGGAUGAAUGAUGAAGUGGUCCAAUUUGAUGUGGGUAAGUCAAUGAAGCAACAUGAAGAAAUGAGUGUUUUUUCAGUAGUUGAUGUGUAUUAUGAGGAUGAACAGAAAGUGUCCAUAACUGAGCAACCUGUUAUCGAACCUUUGGCCAUAAUUAUGAUGAAUUAUGAUAGUGAAGGCAUCAGAGAGUAUGAAGAGACCAUUUGUGCUUUGACAGGAAUGGGUUCAUAUCCUUAUGGUCCUAAAAAUCUAGACCUUAACCUUGCUAAUCGACCAACACCACCAGCCAAGCCAUCUAUUGAGGAGCCUAUGGUGUUGGAAUUGAAAGAACUAUCUGGACACUUACGAUACGUGUUUUUGGGCAACGAAAACACGCUACCUGUUAGUAUUUUAGCUGAUUUAGAUAAGCAACAGGUAAACACACUUAUUUUAGUACUUUAGAGGCACAAGAGAGCUAUAGGCUGGACCAUCCCAGAUAUUAUUGGUAUUCCCUCGGGCAUCUGCUCGCAUAAAAUUCAACUUGAAGAAGAUUGUAUUCCAACCAUAGGGCAUCAUCUCCGUCUUAACCCACCAAUGCAAGAGGCGGUUAAGAAGGAUAUUAUUAAGUGGUUGGAUACAGGAGUGGUUUACCCUAUUUUUGACAGCAAGUGGGUGAGCCCAGUUCAAUGCAUACCCAAAAAAAUGGGCAUGACAGUGGCUGCUAAUGAAAGGAAUGAGUUAAUUCCACUCAGGCCUGUAACUGGGUGGAGAGUUUAUAUGGACUACUGCAAACUAAAUUCUUGUACUUUGAAAGACCACUUCCCGAUGCCCUUUAUGGACCAAAUGCUUGAUCAAUUGGCUGGAAGGGAGUGGUAUUACUUCUUGGAUGGUUAUUUCGGAUACAACCAAAUCUGCAUUUCUCCUAAAGAUCAGGAGAAGAUGACAUUCACAUACCCAUAUGGCACCUUUGCAUUUAAGAGAAUGUCAUUUGGGCUAUGCAAUGCGCCCGCCACUUUCAACGGUGUAUGAUGUCUAUUUUUUCAGACAUGGUGGAGAACACCAUAGAGGCAUUCAUGGAUAAUUUCUCUAUGGUGGGUGAUUUAUUCGAGAUGUGUUUAGAAAAUCUGAAUCUAGCCUUGCAGAGAUAUGUUGAAUUUAAUUUGGUGCUUAACUGGGAAAAAUGCUAUUUCAGGGUAAAGAAGAGCAUCGUUCUUAGCCACAAAAUUUCCAAAAAAGGGAUAGAAGUUGAUCAAGCAAAAGUGGAAGUUAUUGAGAAACUACCACCUCCCAUUUCAGUGAAGGGAGUGCAUAGUUUUCUUGGACAUGCUAGAUUUUAUCGAAGAUUUAUAAAAUACCUCUCGAAAUUUGUAAAUCCAUUUUUCAAACUUUUAGAGAAAGAAGUGAAAUUUUCCUUCGAUGAUGAGUGCUUGAAGGCAUCUAAAUGCCUUAAUAAGAAGCUGGUUGAGGCCCCUAUUGUUGUUGCACUUGACUGGUCAAAACCAUUUAAGAUCAUGUGUGAUUCCAGUGGUGUUGCCCUUGGAGAUGUAUUGGGACAAAAGAGGGAUAAAAUGUUUCAUCCGAUAUAUUACACUAGCAAAGCACUGAAUGGAGCGCAAAAGAAUUACACUGUCACUGAAUAGGAACUUCUGGUCGUAGUGUAUGAUUUUGAGAAGUUCAGAGCUUAUAUUCUUGGGACCAAAGUGGUGGUCCACACCGACCAUGCUGCCUUGAGGUAGCUGAUGGCUAAGAAAGAUGCAAAACCAAGGCUGAUUAGAUGGGUAUUGCUGCUGCAAGAAUUCGACUUUGAGGUUAAAGAUAGGAAAGGUUGUGAAAACCAGGUUGCAAAUCAUCUGUCUAGAAUUGAGGUGAACAGGAAAUUAGUGAUGAAACAAAGAUAAAUAAUGCAUUCCCUAAUGAGAAGAUCCUGGUUGCCGCUGUGGAAAAAUUACCUUGGUAUGCGGAUUAUGCAAAUUAUGUUGUGAGUAAGCUCAUCCCAGAAAACCUUUCUUUCCAUUAAAGGAAGAAAUUCUUGCAUGAUGUGACUCAUUACUUCUGGGAUAAACCAUAUCUUUUUUGGUGAUGUGCGGACAAUAUUAUAAGGAGAUGUGUACCGAAAGUGGAUGUAUUGUGCAUAUUGGAAGCAUGUCAUGCUUCUCCAGUUGGGGGCACCAUGCAGGCAACCGAACGACUAGGAAGGUAUUGCAGAGUGGCUAUUGCUGGCCAACAUUGUUCAAGGAUGCCCAUGAGUUUAUGCUGAAAUGUGACCAAUGUCAGAGGCAGGGAUCAAUCUCCAAAAGACAUGAGAUGCCCUUGACUAAGAUGCUUAAAGUGGAAUUGUUUGAUGUCUGGCGCAUUGAUUUCAUGGGUCCUUUUAUAAGUUCAUAUGGGAUGAAGUAUAUUUUAGUUGUUGUUGACUACAUCUCGAAAUGGCUCGAAGCUGUAGCAUUGUCUGAUAAUGAAGGAAAGAGGGUUGUUGUUUUUCUCAAGAAAAACAUCUUCUCUCGCUUUGGAGUACCACGUACUAUUAUAAGCGAUGGAGGAUCUCAUUUUUGUAACAAAUUAUUUAGAGCAGCUUUAGCAAAAUAUGGGGUAAAACAGGAUCGAGUAGCUACUCCAUACCACCCAUAAACCAUUAGGCAAGUGGAGGUAUCAAAUCGAGAGAUUAAAGUCAUCCUAGCUAAACCGGUGAACGCUAGUUGGAAAGAUUGGUCUCGAAAGCUUGAUGAUGCCCUGUGGGCAUAUCGGACUGCGUUCAAGACACCCAUUGGUAUGUUACUAUUUCAGCUGGUCUAUGAAAAAGCUUGCCACCUACCAAUAGAGCUGGAGCACAAAGCCUUAUGGGCACACAAAGGCUGAAUUUGAAUUAGAAGAAGGCAGCAAAGUUAAGACUGGGGCAACUAAAUGAGAUGGAUAAAUUCUGUCUUAGGGCAUAUGAACGAGAAGAUCUGUAUAAAGAAAUGAUAAAAAAAUAUCACAAUUGGAGGAUAGAGAAACGAGACUUCCAAAAGGGUGACAUGGUGCUUCUGUUCAAUUCCAGACUCAAAUUGUUCUCAGGUAAGCUGAAAUCUAAGUGGUCAGGCCCUUUUAAAGUUAGCCAAGUCUACUCAUCUAGAGUAGUGGAAAUUGAAAAUGAUGACGGCAGUACCUUCAAGGUAAAUGGGCAACGUGUCAAGCUUUACAUUGGUCUGAAAGAAUUAAUAAAAAGUAUCACCAUUAUCUGUCUCAAUGAUGUCUAAAGUAAUCAAGAUACCUGAGUUGUGCCGCAAUGUUAAAUCAGGCGCUGCAUGAGAGGCAACCCAUAAACCCCGGGAUUGAUCCAUUCCAGGUAUACUCUUACCCUGAGUUUAGCUUUAUUUUUAAUUUUAAGCUAAGGGUGUAGAGUAGUAUGUUGUUGUAACAAUUUUUGUUAGAUAAGAGGAGUAAUACAGGUACUUGAGGCAGUUAGCUUGUUUUGUGACUUUUGAGCACCUCUCCAUUGAUCUGAGUUAUAACUGUGUGAAUUCCAUUCAUCUGUGACUGCGGUGCAUCUUUUUAUGGCAUUAGUCUGGCGACUUGAUGAUUUUUGCUAAACAAAUUGCAUGAAUCGGAUAAGUAGUGAUAUGUGAUGUAUUUGUGUACCAUGUGUGUGUGAGGUCUUACUCAGUUCCUACUGUGUGUCGAAUCUAAAACUUUCUCUGUUAGUCCUGCCUAGGUUGUAGGAUAGGGGUUACGAAAGGAUCAUAGGCCAUUUUUUGUUGUAACCCACUUUCAGCCUAAAUGGCCUUCCCAAUGUGAAUAAUAUCCCUUGAUCCCUGAUUUGAGCCUAUAUGCCUAUUUCUUUCUAUGAAACCUCUCACCUUCCCGUUUACCCCACAAUGAACCUGUUUUAGCCCUGGUCCUCCUUGGAUACUGUGCACCUUGACUUAGGCAAAUAUCCUAAGUUGAGGGUGGCUAUCAUAGGGGUGCGUGAUGCAAAAUGAGCAUGAAGAGAGGUAGAAUAAGAGAAAAGAACAAAAAUUUAGGUGCUGUGAAAAAGGUAUAAGAAAAGAGAAAGUUAUGUUAAAUAUGAUAAAAAGAUAAUAUGAUGAUUGAAAAGACCGCAUCCAUCUUGAGCAUGUGUGAUCAAUAAAAGAAGAGGAAGAAAAUAAGGUUGAGAAGUGAAACCCUAAGAGCUUAGUGUAGUGUCAAGGAGGUAUAGUCACUCUAAAAUAUCCAUGAAUAUCAUACCACCCCCUAGCCUACAUUACAAGCCUAAGAAAAGCCCUAAAGUGAUCCCCUCCCGGAAGAUUGGGGUACUGACUAUAAGGGCAAGCCUAUGGCAUUUGACAUGUAGUGCUUGGAACUUCAUUCUGAAAGUGAGACUUAUGAUUAUCCCUAUGUUUAUGUAUGUGAAUUCUGAUAUGUGUGAAAAAGGAAUUUCUUUAUUGUGAGGGCACAUUGGGUAUAUUGCUAAGUCAUUGACUUGUUCAGAUAGUGUGAAUUGGUAUGGCAUGAUUGUUAUUGCUGAAUUUUUUCCGUAUCUUGAUGCUUGUGAGUUGCAUGGUUGUUCUUCAAAACAUCAAUAGUGAGUUUUAAAUUAACUGACCUUGGAGAUGGUGAAAUUAUUCUAAACUAAUAUGAGUAGUUAGCUACCAAAUUGUACUUUGUAUUCUCUUAGUUAUAUUUUGGUUGCUUGAGGACAAGCAAUUGUUUUAACUUGAGGGUGUUGAUGUGUGAGCAUAUGCUAACACAUUUGAGGCUUUUAACUCUAAAUAAUUGUAAGGUCUUGAGCAACUGUAGUUAUUUUUUAUUAGUUUAUGUUUGAUUUUGCAGUUUUAGCUGAUAUGAUAGAGAACCAAAAUAAAAUGAAGCAAGGAAAUUAAAAUUUAAAGAAAUCUGAAGACAAGUGUGGCUUACGACAUUUGUGAUAAGUCGUCAUCCCUGUGAUAAGCUAUCAGGUUGGUCAUCAUCAGUAGAGAGAGAAUUGGCCUAAAGUGGAAGUUGUGACGAUAUUUUGUGAUAAGCCGUCAAGGGUCUGAUAAGUUAUCAAGAAUGUCGUCAGCCUAAGAAAGCCAAGAAGAACUGAAGCAAAACCUUAACUACAUUUUGUGAUAGGCCAUCACGUAGAUGAUAGGUUAUCAAGUUUGUCAUCAGCCUUAAGCAGGAAGAGCCAAAACUGAAGAAGAAGCUGACGACAUUUGUGAUAAGUCGUCAGCUUCCUGAUAAGCUAUCACAAAUGUCGUCGGCUAAUCCGAAGGAUUUCUGAUUUUUAUUAAUUUGUUUCCUUAUUUAGGGUAAACUAUUUAAAGCUUUAUUUUAGGGUUUUCUAGACAUGAUUAUUAUUACUAUUAUUAUUCCACACAAAGCCGACACCUGGUGUUUUGGACAGCAUAUUUUAAUAUUUUCCCUCUUUACUUCUUAACUUUAACAACACAAUAAUUUUUUAGAGAUUAUUUUCAGUAUUUUGGUAUUUUUCCUUUGUGAUCUAAUCUGUGAUUCACUUGUUAUUACUCAUUUCUGUAAGUUUAUCUUUCAAAUCAUGAAUUCAAUUAUGUGUUUCGUUCGUUACAUCAUGAGUGUCUAAACUCCAUUAACCUGAGUUGUGGGAUCUAGGAUUAGGUCUUGAUGAGGUGCUAAGUAUUCAAGAUUCAAAAGGUGGUAGGAUUUCUUGAUAAUUCUGAAGUUUUAAUUAACGUAUGUUGGUUGCAAAUAGUAGACAUGCCUGCUUUGGUUUGCUUGAGAAAGAAAUCAAAUAUAGUAGAAAGUAAAUUAUCAAUAGGGACUCGAAAAUACUUCGUUUAAUAAUCAGCGCUGUAACAAGGUUGGUUAACCUGAGGUAAAAUAUGGACAGUAAAUAGAAAUUCCCUAAGUCCAAGAGGAUUAGGGAAUUAAACGCUUAAGUAGGUCGAGAGACAUUUAAGCAUAACAUUGAUAAAGAUAGCUUGCUAUCCUACCCACCGUGAGAAUCUUGAACCACUUUUAGCAUCUGUCAUGUACCGAAAGCCCUAGUGAACAUAAUUCUGGUUAUUUCAUAAACUCUUGAUUUACAAACACCAAAAGUAAAGUGACAAACAGCAACUUGUUAAACCUAAACCCCCCAUUUCUGGAAAUAUUAAACUAUCAGUGAAUUAAAUCGCAAACAACUUGAGUUCACACCAUAUUCCCUGUGGGAUUCUACCCAAACCUAGUUGGGUUUUAUAUUGACAACGAUCGCUUACACCCAUUCAAGAGUGUAAUUUAAGAUUUAUCAUAUAUCCUCAAAAAAUACCUUUAAAUGAUGAUUGCAAAAUAAAAAAUUAAACUCUUUACCGAUGAAGUUUAAAAAAAAAAAAUUCUUCAAUUUGGACCUCGAUUUUUAGCUUUUUUUGUGUGAAUUUUCUCCUGCAAACUCCUAUAAUCUUGAUGAAUGGGCUUUGAAAAUAAAAUUCUAGCUUUAUCUUUUUUUUUGGGAACCCAUUUUGGAUCAGGCCUAAAUAUAAGUGUUAUGAGUAUCGUUAGCUUUAUUUUAAUGCAUAGAUGUUGUAUUUGAAUAUUGUAGUUGAUUCUAAGGCCGUUCGCGAGGGAAAGACUCUGGGUUGAAGUACUUUAGAUCAAAAUUUCAUCAUUUUGAGGUAGGUUAUGGCUUAACUUCUUUCAAAUUGAGUUGGGUAGUUAAUAAACAAGUAAAUCAUACUAUGGGUUGGGGAAAAUAGUUAGAAAUUUAUAUUUCUAGAUUAUUUUUAUUAUUAUGUGCCCUUGUAGAGGACUAUAUUUUGUUGUGGUUGGCUAAUAAUAUCUUAUAUUGCGUGUUGCUCGUGUGGAGAAUUUAUUUGACAUCAUUGGUCUUAUCUGUGUCUUAGAAUACCUUUAUUCUAGAUAUGAUAUCGUGCGGGGGCGUAGUUUCUAAUGUAGGCCUUAUUUGAGCAUUGGUUGCUUUUAUCAUGAUAAAAAUACUCGAAUUAGAGAUUUAUAUAAUAUUAAUUAUGUCAUGCAUGCAUAUUUAUUCUAAUGGUGCUUAAUUGAGUUGAGAAUCAUGAAUUAUGGACGUACUGAUUUAAUUUCCUGGAUCACUUGUAAAUAUAUACUUUUUGGAUGUAUUGGAUAUCGUCACAUUGAGUUGAUUGUGAGCAUUACAUCCUUAUUCCAUACAUAUACAUUCAUGAGAUACUGGUAUCGUUGAAAAACACUAUUUUUGAAAAUGAGACAUUUUUAUGAAACCCUCUCCGUGAACACGAGCCAGAGAGAUGAGAUAAGUUGAAAUUGAGAUAUAGUAUAUGUGUUGCGAGACCCCAUAGGUCCCACCUGACAGAUGCGAGCUCGGUGGUGUAUACAGAAAAUCACAUGAUGGCUUUUAUCAUUCAUUCCAUCUACAUUGCACUGCAUUGCAUUUGCACACACAUCUUGCUUGUUUUUCUUAGUUUCCUUGACUUAUGCUUAGUUUUAGUAUUUCUUUUUCUUUUAUGUAUGUGUUGUUUCUAUUUCUAUGUUCUUAUAUGUAUUAGAACGGUUAGUGAAGAUGGUGUAAGCUAUGUAUGGGACUUUUCUGCUUGAAGGUGACAUGCUCAUUGUAUAUUUUAUUUAUCUUAUUUUCUACUUUGCUCAGUCGAUCUAUGAUACCUACUGAGUGUGAGUGAAACGUAUUCACCCUUAUUAUGCCCUUUCGGUGUAGAUCCUUGCACGAGUACAACUCACAGAGGCUUAUUCAUGCGGUGGAGUUGGUGACACUUUGAGGUACUGGCCCACUCUAGGUUUUUAGAGUCGACUCCAUGCCUCCUCUAUCUAUUAGUUGUCUUUACUUCUAUUUCAGAGACAGACUAUGUAUUUUCAGUUUUGGAUAUUGUAUUAGAUGCUCUUAUGCUAUGAAACCAGAUUUUGGGGUUGGAUUUAUGGAUUUCUUUCAUAUUUCGUUGUAAUUAUAUUUUGCGUUUGGCUUGACUUCAUUCUAGAAUUCCUGUCGAAAUGUAUGAUACUAUAAUUUAUUAUCUCCUUUAUCAAUUAAGGUAAUUGGAUUUCUUAUCAAGAUUGUGUUAUGACAAAUGUCAUCAUGAUCUGAUUUUUGGAUCGCAACACUUUUUUCUAAUUUGCUGAAAAUUGAAACAUGGUACAAUAAGUAAAAAAUUACGUGCCACAAUAAAAAAGUUUUGUUCGUCUUUCCUCUUUAUUUUAAUUUGUUGACAAAGUUCUUUCAUGGAGCUUUUCUAGAAAGAAAAAGACAUUACAUGGAGAAGGGAAGUGGGAAAAAAGGAGUUCAUAUAAAUCAAACUCGCAAUUAUGUGAAAGAUCAUCGUUAGUUAUACUAGACUAUCGGCAAUUACAUGUCAAGUAACCCAUUCUUAGUAUGCUAUUCAACAAUUACAAAUACAAAUGACAAAUUCAAGGCAAAAUGAAAGCAAUAAAAAUUUACGAAAUGAUCUACUUAUAGUUUUUACAAGUACAUAGAUCAACCAUAACACUUGAAACAUUCAAAUCAUAAAUCUUUAAUUAUGGAAACACUUGUUUUACAAAGAAAAAGGGAAGAAGAAAACAAUCGAUAAGAUGGAUUCUUCAAAUGGUAAACACCCCUCAUCUCCAUCUUUAAGGUUGUAGGUUCUCACCGGGGGAACGGAAAGGGUGGGAACUCCUACGUACGGAGGGUCAACAAAGCUCAGUUCUUGGCUUCUUCCUAACAGAAACGCAACCUCUUUGAUGAUCUCUAAAUAUUCUAAUCUCAGAACAAUCCCUCAAAUCCUCAAGACUUAUAUACUGUUGUUUCACCAUUCUUGAAAAAUCACAACCAGUAUCAUUAAUCCAAAUAUAAGGGUGGCAAGAUUCAUUAUAAUAAUAAAGCAAACUCUUAACUCCACCUUUAUAAUAAUUACCAGGCAUAUAAGCCUUGUAAAUUUUCUUGGAAUUUAGCCUCUUUGAUGAUCCUGGUUUCAACGUAUGAACUUUCUUCAAGAUUGAACCAAUCCUUAUUUGCAAUUCAAUUGAUUUAUCACUGAAAUUCCAAAUCCUUGUACCAAAACUAGAGACUUGAGCAAGAUCUUUGCACCCAUUGAAGCACUUCACAAAUGAGACAAGGCUAAAAUAACCACCACCCUCCAUUUCAUUGUGUUUUUUUUUUUUUGGUCACCAAGGCUAGCUUUUUAAAGGGUCUAGAGAAAACAAAUAAUCAUUAUAUGUAGUGUAACUUUCAGCCAAUUGCUAUAUAUUCCAAACUUUGCCUACUAAAUGAUUCUGAUAUUCUUGGAUUUGUGGGCCAUUGAAAGUGUUACUCGUUUGGUUAGGCAGUGAGGAAAAUUUAAGUUUAUUAGCUGUGAGACUAUGACACGUUGUUUUUUCUAUAUUAAGGAGCGACCUGAUUUAUAUCUAAUACUACAAUAUUUCUUAAAGUCGUCUAUAUUCUUCAGCAGUUAUGGUAAAACUAAGCGCCGUUUGAUGGAAUGUAUUUAAAAAAAAUAAUAAUGAAUGCAUUAGCUUAAUGUUUUGCUAAUAAAAUUAAAAAAAGUAGACUUAUUCAUAAAAUUACUAUCCUAAAGUUGACAAGUAUGAAUUGCUUGGAUGGUAAAUACCUCUCACUUUUAAUUCUAAGGUCGUGAAGAAUCACCAUGGAACCAAAAAAAGUGAACGAAUUACCCUAAGAAUUCUACGAAAUGGCCACCUGUGAAAACAUCUCUACUAACAAACUAUUUCAAUAGUACAUUUUUUGGCGUGUCACUCAUGAUGAUUAGAGGACUUAAAGAGUUGGCCGACUCAAAAAAAUUUAGCUAGAAAACAGGUCAGGUAGAUCAACGAUAAUACAAGCAAGCAAACAUGCGGACGAGUUUAAAAAGGUCUUAUGCAACCUUUGAAUUAUCUAUCGUAUUUUCUUUAUUUGUAUCACCAAAACACCCAAAGGGAUGACUAUAUGUACCUCGAAAUCGCCGGCCCCAUCCAAUAAAGAAUUGCGGGAGAAAACUAACAAAUUCUAAGGGUCGAUAGAGAAGUGGUUGUAAAUUAUUAGUUACUGUAUGUUUAUUAGCUGUGAGACUAUGCCUCACUUUUUCUAUUUUGAGGGACAUGCUUUAUAUAAAAUAUAAUACUUUAUCCGUCUAUUUUUAUUUGUUCAUUUUUUAAUUAGCACAUGAAUUAAGAAGUAGUAAAUAAUAGGGAUAAUUUUAUCCUAUUACCUUUUGAAUAUGGUAAAUUUAAUACUUUAAUGAUGUAUUUAACGCUAAGAACAAAAUGGAUAGAAGUAAAUAAAUCAUCCAUUAAUUUUAACAGAACAAGUAUUGUUGAAAUAUAAACAGAAUAAAAUGAACCGAGGGAGUAUUUCAUAAAAGACACCCGUAUCUUUCAGUGAUAAAAAGUCUCCUAAAACUUUGAAAUUACAGAAAUUUAAGUGUUUUUUGUUAACUACUUAAAUCAUACCUUUUCCUCUCUGUGCAGCCUUAGAAUUUCAGUAUCUUGUUAAGUUGAAGAAAACGAGGGGAAAAAGUAAACACAGAAUAGAAAGGAAUAAAUAGUUUCUAAUUAGCUUAGUAAUUAAAUCACGAAUAAUUCUUAACAAUCUUUUAAUCAUCUGAGCAUACGUAACUAAACUAGUUUAAAUUAUGACUAUUGAGUAACACCACAGUAGAACAAAAUUUAAGUUGUAUGAUAGGCUUUAGGAUGAUAAGUUUUGGAUAAAAUCUUAGGAUGUUUAAGGGGCAUUUUCUGUGACUAUGAGAUACCUCAAGGGGUUGAGAAAAAUGUCAAUUUUCUUGACAAUAAUGUCUAAUUUACAUUUCUAAGUGACCACUUAAUUUGGACUAUAACAAGAUAACGGCUACGUUUAUCUGUAUUUCAUCGAGUAGAGGGUCUAUUGGGAACAAUCUCUAUACCUUCAGAGUAGGGGGUAAGGUCUGCGUACACCUAUCUCCUCGGACCUCACUUUGUAAAAUUACACCAGGUAUAUACUGUUAUAACAAGAUAAUGGACAUUCUUGGUAGCUACUUUCUUGGGGUUAGAAAAGCACGGAAAAGAAAAUUAUGGGNNNNNNNNNNNNNNNNNNNNNNNGAAUUAUUUGAUAGUGAAUUAUUGAUUAAGCUUCAAAUGAUUCUGCUUUAUCUACCAUGAUUAUGCUUGUGCUCCUUUUAAUCUUUUUUACUUUAAUAAUUAUAAUUUCUAACUAGAGCACCUUUAGCCUCUUUCUGGCGAAACUUCAGCGCUGGCAAAGAAUUGCCAAUAUUUUUUUAGGAUAAUUGAACUUGACUUGAUUGUGGUCCUGACCCACCAGCCAUUUGGUGAAAAGUAGCACCAAAAAUUAGGCCACCCCAAAAGCUUUAGUGUCCCAGUUAUGAUGUUUGUUGAUGUACAAAGAGGAAAAAAAUUGUAGUGCUCGUAGUUAAAAGUAUUUUCUUGUAUUCCCACAUGGUUCUAUUGAUCUAAAGCACCGUGCCCAAUGCAAGAACGUGAAAUGCUUUUUUGAAAUUCAUAUGCUAAUGUUCCCAAGGGGACAGUGGAUUUUGUAACAUCACUAUCCGAAUUCCAGUGAAUCUGUCAUGUCGAAUGCAAUUCAAGGGCAAUUGUAGUUGGUGCAUUGGUAACUUCGUGUGAUACUUGGGCAAAGUCGAGUGAUCCUUUCGUUACAGAAAAUAGUUUAGGCUCUGGUGAAAUAGCUUAAAGCUGAAUGAUUACCCAUCCAGAAAGAAACAUGCAUUUUAAGUGCCACCAAUUCAAGGCCAAACCAUAGUCACAUCCAGCAGUUGCUCAUUCUAUGAAUCCAAAAGUGACUUGGUAAAAUACAAGUUUCAAUUCCAAUACAAUGAAUGUCACUAACAUAGGUCGUACCCAUGAAUUCAAUGCAACCCAGAGUGCGCAGUUCAAUUAGAAGUCACAGUUUUCUGUUGAGAUUAUGAGAAGCAAGUGAUUUAUCAAGUUGAAUCCAUGAACAUGAUAAAGGGUUCUUUUGGGUUUGAGAAGUAGACAAGGGUACACGUCAAGAAAGAAAACUAUUUCCCGAGUUUAUUACACUGGUGGUAAUGGCAAUUGAGGACCCGUAGACUUAAAAGUAGCCCCAAAAACUAAUGAUUCAAUUUCUGUCCAAACUACAUGCAUUUGUAUAAUCCGCCUGUACAAAUGAAGACUGGAAAAGCAUCACCAAAGGGAUGCCAAAAUCAUCAACAAGAAAUAUUAACUAUGGCCGUAUCAUCAGUAGGAAAUUUACAAAGAUAAUACCAGUCCUAUUUUUCAUGAUUGUCUUGAGCAGAAUCUAUCUUUAUUAUAAGUGGCUGGUCGAGACGUGCAGCUGAAUCAGCCACAGUUGGUAGCUCUGGUAUUGACAAUAUGUCAUCAAUGUCUUCAUUUUCAGCCAGUGCUUUUUCUAAAGCGGCCUUCGCAACUCUUGUGACACAAAUAAUUAAAAACACUGCAAUACACACAACCAAGGUGGUUAUUUUCAGUAUUACUGAAAUCCUAUGUCCAAAUCUGUUGGCAUUUCAUCAAAAAAUGCAAUAUAGUUAAAGGUAAGUACAUUAACUUCAGCAAUAGGAGCAUGCUGUAAAAUAAGUAAAAGAGGUGGCUACAUCACAAAUUGUGUAAUGAGCUCAAGAAGUCUAUUUGCAAUAGCCAUGUUGCACCAAAAACAAAAAGAAGAGAAGAUAUACAUCUUUGCCAAAUAGAGAUGGAAAAUAUCUUCUUUUUACUUGCAUCGAAGGUAAAUAAACCUUUCUUAUCAUUAGUAAGAUAGGUUGUCUUGGUUCCGUAACCUGGAUCAUUUCAAAUCUGGUUUUCAUGAAUAUGGAACCCAUUCAUUAUUUUUUAUCAUUGGUAGUUCCGGAUAGUAAUCUUUUUUGAUAGAUAGUUAUUUGUAGCAUAUACUUGAGUAUUAGAGUGUGUAUGACAAAAUUAGGUUAUCCUAAAUGCUAGCAAGAGAAUGCUCAAGUUUUAAGAGAGUUAAGAGUCAAGGUGAUUGUGCAUUUCCCCAAUUAAUUCAAUUCGAGUCAAAUUACAAGCUACAUUAUAAUGCCAGCUUUCAAGUUAAAGAGACUCUAAGAAAAAGAUUUGACUUGUAAUUUUCACUUUCUAACAACAUACAAUAUCUUAAGAAAUAUUAAAUACUGACUGUAAUAUCAUAUGUACAACUCUUCUCUGAUCAAUAACAAAAAAAAGUAAAGCAUUAUUAGGAUUGGAGACUCACCAGACACCAAAAGGCCAAAUAUUAUCAUAGCCUGGCCACAUAGAAAAACAAAAAGAAAAAGGAUUAUCAAAUAAUCAAUAGUAACAAACAACAAGAAGGAUUGAUUUGGUCUGCAUGGUGAAAGUGGAGUUAAUAAAAUCAUCCAUUUUAUUGGAUCAGAAGUCGACAGCAAAGUAGGGCUAGAAUGAUUACUAGGGCUGUCAAAUUAGUGGGUUGGGCUAAAUUUGCACAAUUAGAAACAAUUACCAACUAAUGAGCUUUUCAUUAGUCGUUGCCAAUAAAGCACUUGGUUUUGGCAUUUGUGAUCCUAUUUUUUUUUUUUUUGUGAUCAAGUAAAUAUAGCCAUUUGUGUGACCUGUUUAUUCAUUUUGAUAAAAUAAAACAUCACCCACUAAAAAAAUUAGUAACUUCAGGAUAGAGUUGAAUUAGCGAGGUAUCAUUAAGUUAAGCUGAACAUGUAUUAUGCCACAAACUGGUUGCCUUCAUAUGGAAAAAAAUUUAAAAUUAGUGAAUACUGUUUGUCCAUUUUGAAAAAUAAACUUAAAAAUGGUAACUGACCCAGCUAAGUCAUUUCAUUGGAGGAGGAGGAUUCCAAUCCAUAAUGACCUACCAGAAAUAGUACUAACACAAUCCAUGCAAGUUUUGCCAAUUUGAGCGGGUGUCAAAGCUGAGGCUACAAACAAUAGACCCCAUGAAUAAGUAAGAUAAUUAGCCAUUCUAUGCAACUGUCAUGACUUGCUCCAUUUUUUUAUUGCAACUUUUCAACAACUACUGCUCUAUUUGGGUUCACAAAAUUUCACCAUUCCAUACUUAAGGAUUAUAUCUCUAGUAUACUCUAGUGAUUAUAUCUUUGAUACACCAAGGGAUCAUCUGGUUACAGGGAUUACAGUGUUAUCCCAGUAUAAAAUAUGGGAUUAAAUUAAUCAGUCUUUGGUUGUAGAUAUUAGAUAAAAACAGAGGAAAAUUCAUACCAAAAUCAUAGUACCAUCAACCCACAUGGAAGGUGGGAUUAUCUGUUAUGGUUAUAAUCCCCGAGUUAAUCCAAGGAUACUUCGUUUUGAACCAAACAACUGCAACGUGUCUCCGAGUAAGCACUACCUUUAAUUGGUAUCAGAUAUACGGAUUUUCAAUUUUCGCUGUUUUCUAUCUUCUGCUAGAUCUGCCUCCAUUCCGACAUAUUAUAAAUCUAUUGAGACAACUUCUUUCCAUGUAAUUUUAGAUCUACCAUCUCUUUUAGCACCUUCAAACAUCAUGUUUUAUAGGUGCAUCUGGAGGACUAUGUAACAUGUGGUCAACUCAAACCAUCUCAAGAGACAUUCUCUUAUUUUAUCCUUUUUAUAUGCUACUUGCACCAUCUAACAGAUGUGAUCAUUUAUGAUUCUAUCUAAUCUUGUAUGACCAUCCAUCCAUCUUAAACAUUUGCAUCUCUAGACACUCAUCUUGGGGAUAUAUUGGGCUUUAAAAGCCUAACAUUCACUUAGAUACACUCUUGUGGCACUCGUCCAUUUCAACCAUCCUCCAUUAAUCAAAUGUGUAACAUCUUAAUCUAUCACAAUGUUAUCAAAGGCAUUUUCAGGGCGAGUCACAGGCCAGGGCAUAUCAAAAAUGCCCCCGGGCGCAAAUGAAAGGCAUAGAUCCAUAGGGCGUACACCCUAGAAUUUGGGGAGUAAGUCCCACAAUAAAGCGUAUGCUCGGGAGUAAAAUUUGAUUUUUAUUAUUUUUAAGGUAACUUUGCUAUAAAUCAUGUUAUUAUUAUUAGUUAAAUGAUAUUUAUACUUUAUGCUAUCUUUUUUUCAUGUUGUAGUAUUUUCCUAAAAUAUAUAAACAAAGAAACAACAACCAUAGAAAAUGACACAGUCAUAAAUAGUUCUUUAAAUAAUCAAGCCUAAAAUUGAUAGAAUAGAGAGUCCAUAGCACUAUGUUCUGAGGCAACUUUAUUCAUCUUUUCUCACAACUCUUACACUUUUUAUCCUUCUUUGAAAUAUAUAUACAAUAAUCAGUGCAAAUAUUAGUUGAGAGUGGGAAGGACCAGUGGAUGCGGAGAUCGAUAUGAAAUUACUAAUGAUUCCAUUUUAAAGAAUAUCUCGACUAAUAUCAUUUUUUUGUGUCGUUACCUUUCCCAAAUAAGAAUUAUAAUAUUUUUUUCUAUAUUACUGGUGAUUUAUUUGAAUUUAUUUGCAAAAUUAUUGAAGAUUUUUCUUUUGCUUAGUUUCUUAGUAAUAAAAUUAAAGAUACAUAAGAUAUACGCCAUGUAGAUCCAUGGGACUUACACCAUGUGUUUCGGGGCUUACAUAUUGCCCAGUGCCGCAUAAAACUCCUCGCCUCACACCCCCGCCUUUCAAAACACUAAUCUAUCAUUCCAUUCUCCUGGAUUAUUGAGGUUAUCGCUAAAUUAUCUAUAUUUAGGCACCUCAAGUUCAUCUCAUCUCAACUCAACUUCACUCCUAUCUCGCUGUCUAAACUUCUCAUGCAUGUAUUAUCAUACUCUUACCGGUGUUGUUAAAAGUCAUUGUUUUGCUGCUUAGAGGGAUGAUGCAAUGCCAAGCGAAGCGUUAGUGCUUUACAGGUGAAGUCAUGUGCUUCAGAUAGGUGGGCUUCAAACAAUGACGUGCAAGGUCAUCCAAACGAAACCCAGUUAGUUCUUUGAAUUGCAACUUUGAGAAGUUAGAACUAAUAUCAACACAUAUUGGAUGCUAGUAUUCAUUAUUUUACUUGCAAAUUCAUUAUUAUAAUACUAAAUUCAUAUAUGUUUGAUAAUUUCAAUAUUUGAUAAGUUGUGCGCGUUAUACUGCUUAUUUUUUGCUUUAAGUAUCAUGAAGCUUGUUGAUUUUUUCACACAUUUUGCUUUUAAGACACCGACUUUCAUUUAUCCUAAAACUUUUACUCUCUAGAGUAUUCUCUUAGCUCGAGCUUGUGAUUGACACCCUCAUUAAUUUCAUCAAUUAACACAAUAUCAUCUGCGAAGAGCAUGCUUCAUGAUACCUCAUCCUGUUGGUUAAUUCGUCCAUAACAAGCAUAACCAGGUCCGGCUUAACAUAGAGUCCUGGUGCAAACCCACAGUAAGGGGAACUCCUCUGUCCCUGCCACUGUUCUCACAUUUGUAACAGCUCCUUCAUACAUAUUCAUAUGUUUGACAUGAAUUCUUUUAUUUUUUCAAUACCAACCUAUGUUGUUGGGACUCGUGUGCGGGUAUCCGAGACGGGUGUGGAUCCGAGAGUCGGAUUCGUCAAAUCUAAAUUUUAAGAUUCGGGGGUGUGAAUCCGAGUAUGGGUACAGGUGCGGGGAUUCAGCUAAAAAAAUUCAAUGUAAUAAAAAUAGAGUUAUAAAGAUAUUCUAAAUUUGAGAGAUAUUUUGUGAUAAACUUACAUGUAUAUUGUAGAAUUCAUUUGUUUAUGUACUCAUUUGCAAUAUGUAUGAUUUGGUCAAUAAAAAGUUAUAUGAUCAAUCCAUUCAAGUGUCACAACUAGGAGAGAUAAUUUAUUUUUUUAAAUUAGUUUUGGGUCACAUGGACUAAUUUAUUGAUAAUGAAAACAGAAAAAAAAUUGUCCACCCAGCCCAAAAGUGGCUGGUCCAAUAAACAACAAAAGAACAGAACAAGUACAAUCUGAGUGGACAAAUCUCCUUUGAGAUUCUUCACAACCGGUCCUUUCAUUUGGUCAAAGUAGAUGAAGAAGAAAGCUAAAAAGUUCCAAUUCUUCUCAUCUCGAACUCAGAGAAAUAAAGGGGCAUGUACAUUGUACAGUCUUUAAUUAAAGACUUAAAGUCCCUUUAGAUCUAUUCGCCUCUUUCUUCUCUCAAGAGUCAAGGCGACAUAAAGUCCCUCUUACGCUCCUCUGAUUCUUUUAAAUCGUCUUUCUACCUUCCAACUUACAGGUUGCUGGUCGGAAUUCCCACGGAAUUUUUCUGUUCAGCUCUUUCUUCUCCCAAGAGUCAAGACGACUUAAAGACCCUCAUACGCUCCUCUGGUUCUUUUACGUCGUUUUUCUGCCUUCUAACUUACAAGUUGCUGGUAGGAAUUCUCACGGAAUGUUUACUUAAAGUGAGACAAAGGUAAGGCCUAUAAUAUUGUCAUAAAUUUGUUUUAUUUUUAUUUCAAGAAAUCGAAUUCUAAAUUUUUCUCCCAAAUUUGUUCUCGGGUCAAAGUACUUGGGUCAAAGUACUUGGAUGGGAUUUGACCAAAUCUGAGACGGACGCACCCUGCACCAGUGUUGCGUAGAGACGGGUUCGGCGGCAAAAAUGACGAGUCCGCCCAACAUAUAUAUCAACAAAAGGACAUCUCAUGGGAGUUGAGACACUAUCGUAUGCUUUUUGUAAGUCAAUGAAAUAUCAUGUUAAGAUCCUUUUUCUCCCUACAAUUUUUCAUCAAUCAUCUUAGUAAAAAAAUAUAGCCUCUAUUGUAGACCUAUCAAGCAUAAAUCAAAAUUGGUUCUCAGUUCAACAUUUCCAUUUAUAUUUUUCCUUUCUGCGUGUGUGAGUGAUGGUGGGGGAGGAGGCUAUGGAAUAACUGGAUUUAAGGUGAGGUUACUUCCCUCUCCAACAUUUUGAUUUAGUUUUCUUAUAUGAUUUUUUUAUGACUGCACUUGUCCAGGCUAGCAUUUGCACAUCUCCACUGAUAAUUCCACAGGAAAACCUGCCACCACCCACCAGAAGCAACCACCAGGUAACUCUGUUCACCAAGGCUACAACAAAUGGGAAUAAAUCACCUAGUGUUAUAUCUUGAUUGGCCUACUUUCUACACAGAAUAGCCCACAAGGCAAAGUUACAAUCUUGAAUACUAAAAAAAUCAACAAUCAAUCAACUACAUCUAUCAAACUACUUGGAAAAUAUAUAUAUAUAUAUAUAUUCCUUUUAAUUUGCGCAGAAAUCACCCAAUACUCAAUAAAGACACAUUUAGCAUCUUUCAGAUGGGAGAUUCUCCAAAUUUCACACUUAUCCCAAUGGUGUGUACUAAACUUGAACAAAACUAGACAGAUAGUUGACACUAGUGUCUAGGAAUGUGCUCGCAUCGUCGCAUAAUGCGAUGAUACAAAACGAUGCAAGUCUCUCUCGCUGUGUGUGACUGAUGUGUGCGCAUCAUGUUGAUUUUGUUUUUAGGAUCAAUUUUAAAUUUAAAAAAAGAGUCACUUCAUGUUGAUUUUAUAUUUAGGGUCAAUUUCAAUUUUUUUAUAAAAAAGAAAGUUUGUGCGGUAACUACCACUGCUACAAUUUUCCAAGGUUAACUUUGAAGGCCACUGUUGUGACUUCUUCACUGUGUAACUACCACUAUUGUGCCUUUUCAUCACUGCUUCACUUCAAUGAUGCGCUCGCAUCGCUUCACGCUUUGCGUAAUGCGUGAUGCAGAGCCUUGUCGCUUUUUUUCGCAUCACACUUUCCUAAAUCUUUUGCCCGUCAUUUUUUUUAAUCAUCGUUAUAUCUUUCACUCAAUUAUUCUAUUCCUGACUAUGGUAAUUAGUUGAAUUUUUUUUGAAAUAUCAGAUAGUUUGAUCGCAAAUGAGUUCUUUCUUCUCAAAAUCUCAACAAUAUGCAUUACUUAAAGUGGUUCUUUCGAUCAUUCAUCGAAAGGAGACACUUGAUUUUGAAUUUGACCAAUUGAGACAUCAGGAAACAAUAUUCUCAAUUUCUUCAUUCGAAGUGAAUUCUUAGUGUAUUUCUGUAUUCUUUCUAGAUUCAAAGACUAACCACAAAAUCACAAAGAAAAUAGAUUCAUAAGUUCGAUACCUUGUAUAAAACUCAUGUGUAAGAAAUAUCCGAUCGCAUAGAGCGUACGAAUAGGCUGAUUAACAAUUCACAGAUGAAAAAAUGGUAAAAAAGAAAGCAUUCACCCCAACACUGCCUGACACAUGCCAAACCUAAAUAAGAUUAAGUCUUAAUCACAAUUGUUUUAUCCUUCAUAUGGAUCUGUUACUUUCACUUAUGCUGUUCUUAGCUAAACUUGCAUGUAAUCCUGGAGAGAAACAACUUUAUUUCAUAUGAUUUUACGUCUAUUUCAUCCCAUUUUAGCAAAACAACCAUCAACUUAUCACGCCUACAGAUCGGUGCAUUUGAAGAUCCACUAGCACAGUCGUAUAAUCUCAAGUGACAUUCUUUCAUUUUAUUAGUUAUGUGUGCUACUUGCACUCCACUAAAUGUGAUAAUUUCUAAUUUUCUCUAGUCUUGUACUUCCUCCCUUCACAUUUACUUGUCCACUAUACUAAAAAUAAAAUUCACUUUUAUUUGUCGACUUUAGCAUAUAAAGAAAAUAACAAUUUUAUUUUUCCUGUUUUACCCUUAGCAUUAACUACUCAUUCCCAAAUUAUUUUUCCAAAUCCAUUGAAACUAUACAACAUUAACAUGGGUAUUAUGGUUAGUUUCAAAAAAAAAAUAUGGGUAUUAUGGUAAAAUAUGCACUUCACUUACAAUUUUUUAAGGGGAGUCCAAAAGCCAUUGUGGACAAGUAAAAGUGAACGAAGGGAUUAUAGCGUAUAUCAACCUUAACAUUUGUAUCUCACGAUAAACAUCAAAUUACCGUAAUAGAAUACUUAUUUUUUAUGACAGAGAAAUCUAUCUAGGGCAAACUUUAGGACCAUGCAACCUUUGGAACUCGUGGAUAAUGAGUCUAGCCCUUUACUUUUCUCCACUUACAUAUUGGCUUAAUUUCGUAUUGUGCAUGGCUCAAGCCUGUGCGGCUGUGCCUAAGUCACAAGACCCUCAAUCUUUUGCCAUUUGAACUAAGCCCUACGGUCAGUUCCAUAAUAGAAUACUUUUUCAUCCCUAAUGAAAUACUUUAACUUCAUAAUUCACCACAUUAACACUUGACUUUAUUUAUUCAUUUAUCUAAAGCAACUUGUCUCUAUAAUUUCUCAAGAAGAGAAAAGUGGUUGUUGGCUCCUAUGUUACGGACUCUUCGUUUUUUGCCGCCAAACCUGUCUUGACGCGAUACUGAUGCGGGAGCGGGUGUCGGCUGCAUCUCAGAUUGGGUCAAAUCCCACCCGGAUACUUUGACCAGAGCCAAGAACAAAUUUGGAAGAAAAAUAGAGAAUUCAAUUUCUUAAAACAAAAAUAAAAUAGUUACAACAAUAUUAUAGGCCUUACUUUUGUCUCACUUUAAGUUCUAAGAAAUUCCGUGAGAAUUCCGUACAGCAACCUAUAAGUUGGAAAACAGAUAGACGACGGAAAAGAACUCGAGGAGUGUAAGAGGGACUUUAUGUCGUCUUGACUCUUGGGAGAAGAAAGAGACGAAUAGAUCUAAAGGGACUUUAAGUCUUUAAUUAAAAAUUGUAGUGUACAUGACUCUUGAUUUCUCUGAGUUCGAAGAUGAUAAGAAUGAGAACUUUUCAGCUUCCUUCUUCAUCUACUUUGACCAAAUGAAAGGACCAGUUGUGAAGAAUCUAGAAGGAGGUAUGUCCUCAAAUUGUACUAGUUUUGUUUUUUGUUAAUUAUUGGACCAGCCACUUUUCUGCCGGGUGAACAAUUUGUUUUUUGUUUUCAUUGUCAAAUAAUUGGUCCAUGUGACCCCCAAAACUAUUUUUUUUUUCUUUGCAUUGUGGCACAUAAGUGGAUAGAUGACACACAACUUUUAAUUGACCAAAUUAUAUAUAUAUUGCAACUAGCAAAUGAGUAAAUAAAUAAAUGAAUUCUACAAUAUACAUGUAAGUUUAUCACAAAAUACCUCUCAAAUUUAGAAUAUCUUUCAAACUCUGUUUUUAUCAUAUUGAAUUUUUCUAGACGAAUCCCCGCACCCGUAUCCAUACUCUUCGCACCCCCGAAUCUUAAAAUUUAAAUUUUGACAAAUCCAGCUCUCGAAUCCACACCCGUCUCGGAAACACGCACCCAAGUCCAAGCAACAUAGGUGGCCCCUACAUAUUCCCCUAAUACAAAGAAUCAACUCUUGUCUUAAGUGCAAAAAGUUUCUUAGUUAGCUACCCUCUUACUUUUCAGUUUAUUUGCAAGCAUUCAUUAGUUUAUCAAUAACAAUACAAAAUUAAAAUCUUAUGUCUCUGUUUAACAUCAGGAUAAUAGUCAUGUUGUACUCAAAUUUUACCUCUUACAGCAAGAUAUAGUAUGUUGAGAGUGCUCUCUCAUUAGUUAUUGGUUUGAUAGGCAAAACAUAGCAAACCCACGCAGCCAAAUUCUUCGGAAGCUACUUCAUAAAUGAGUUAAUGGAAGGUUGGAAUUUGUUUACGUAUCUAACCUAGCUCAUUUUUGUUCUUUAUUUCCCUCAAAAGUUUUAGUCGCCGUUUGGACAUGAAAACUAAAAUUUUCCGGAGUUGGAGUUGCGUUUGGCCAUGUCUUUUUUGAAUUUUUUUUUUUGACUUUUCAAAAAAACUUUUUUAAAUAUGAUUUUAUGCCCCAACUUUUACAAACUAUCAAAAUCACCCAACUAAAAUUUACCUACUAACGGGAAAAUAAUACAGUUAGCCACUUUUAUAAAAAUAAUUACAUAUACAUAGUCAUAUUUAAUGAAUUUCAAUUAUGACAUAUAUAAUAUUUACAUUAAUANNNNNNNNNNNNNNNNNNNNNNNNNNGAGUUGUUAUUAAAUUUUAGGGUGCCGCUAAUUUAUUUCUUUAAUUUUCUUAUACAUGAAAGAUUUACUGUGUGUGAAUAAAUUAUUUCUAUGUAAAACAUACUUUGCAUAUUUAUGGUAUAUUAUAUCAUAUACCAUAAAUAUAUAAAUAUGCUUAGUAUAUUUCUUUAUACUUUGUAUAUUUAUAUAUGUGUGUAUAUGUAUAUAUAUAUGAAAAAUAUGUAUCACCGAUUUAUAUUUUUAGCAUAUAUAUGGUAUAAACUAUUUAUAUUUGAAUAGUAUAAUAAAGAUAUACACAAUAUAAUAAUAUAAUCAAAUUAAAAAUGAGAUUAAUUUGUAGCAGUGGUAAACUAAUUUGCUACAACUUUAUUAAUUCCAUAAAUAUAGAAAACGAUUAUCCAUUACUCCCUCCGUUUCAAAAAGAAUGACUUAUUUUCCUUUUUAGUCCAUUUAAAAAAGAAUGACCCCUUUUCUUUUUUGGCAAUACUUUAAUUUCAACUUUCCACAUAGCAUGUUUAGGACCAUAAGAUUAUAGGGCAUUUUAGUACAUUUGGUACAACUUUAAUUUAAGGCCACAAGAUUUACAAGUCUUCUUUAUUUUCUUAAACUUUGUGCCAAGUCAAAGUAGGUCAUUCUUUUUUAAACGGAGGGAGUAUUAAUUACACGACUAUAAUUCCUUAAACGUCCGUAUCCAAACAGAAAAAUUAUUAUUAUUAUUAUAUUAUAGUAAUUAGGAUCAUUAGCAGUAAAAUAAUGUCUUAAAUAAGGGAGAAAAUUAAAUAAGAGAGAAAAAUAAUGAUGAGAGAAAAACAGAUAUAUAUUAAUUAGGAUAGCAUUAAGUUUGAAAUUAUAAUUAUCUUAUUCUUUAAAACUGCUAUAUAUGUAAUAUUGAAAAAAUAAUGUUAUAAAGAGAGUUUUAUGUAAAAAUUUAAAAGAUUGGAAUUAUAUGUAAUAAUAAUAAAAGUUGAAAUUGGAAUUGAAAAAUUGUGAAAACACCAAAAACCUGUUUUUCCUUUUCAGAAAAAUUUUCCGAAAUUAUUUUUAGAAUUUUCAUGGCCAAACACCACAAUUUCCAACUCCGGAAAAAUUUUUCGGAAAAAAGGAAAAAAAUUUCAUGGCCAAACGGGCCCUUAGUCCCAGCUCAUGCGCACCACCAACUUACAAGACACCUUCUUAUCUCCCAAUAAGACAGGUACCAGUCACGCUAUGCACCAAGACUUAGGUGGAUAGGAAUAAUUCACCUAGUUCUCUUCUACUAGGAUUUGAACAGUGGUUUCAAGGUUGUCACUCCAACCCUUAGAUUGCUAGCACCCCCUUGGGGUGUUCCUUGCCCUCCAAAGCUUGUCCAGGGGUGGAAGUAAAAAAUUAAAAAACCAAAAUUCGUUACAUUAACUAGUCAUUUAUCCUACAUGCUUGUACUACUACUAUUCACUUUGUAGCACAAAAGAUCAUUUUCAAAUGUGUGGACAUGACUAAAAUUAUUUAGAUUAGCAUAAGAUUUGUCAAGUGUAUAUAUAGCUCUUACCCAGCGGGUUUUUGAGAGUUCACCCCAUCCAUGAGUAACAUCAGAAAGAUCUUUCAAAGUUGUGCCGACAUACACCAGGGCAAAAGUUAUUGGCUACAACAGGAUAAAAAAUAAAUUCAUCAAUAACAACAUCAACAAAGCCAGUGAAAUCAUGCAAGUGGGGUCUGGAGAAAUCAUCAGUAGUGAAUAUUAAUAUGAAUAAAAUAAAAAAAAUCAACACAUCAAUCAAUAAGCCUCUGGGUGGAAUUUCAAGGGUUAUUGAAAAGAACAAGGCAUGCAGAUGAUCCUACUAUACCACAAUGGCUUCUUGGUCAAGGUCAUUUCACAUGGAUAGCACCAGCAACAAGUCAACUAUAUAAACCAAUAGAAAUCUCUCUUCCAAGAGGAUGGAUCAAGGAUUUUAAUCUGUCCCUAUGUAUAUUACAAAGGGGUUUGAUAGAGCCUCCCCAGAAGAGAGAGUUAUUGAGCUCUUGAAUAACAUUAAUCUAGAGGCUAAUGUGCUGAGUUGGUGGCUAAUGCAUUGAAGGAAAAGAAGUCGACGGGGGAGGUGCAAUAAGCAGCGCAUCAAAUUGUGGUGUAUCGUAGAAGAAACAAAGUGGGCAAGGAUGUAGGUGGGGCUUCAUUUUUUAUUUUUUUGUGUGUGGGGGGAGGGGGGGUGAGGGAAUUAGUUGUUGAUGGAUUGUAAAAUCAUUAGCUAGACUGUGAGGGGGAUGAUUGACCCAAAUUAAAGGGCCAUCAUCAAAGUAGGCUUUAGGGAAUGGGAGGCAAAUGUGAUAUGUAUCCAAGAAACAAAAAUGGAAAUCCUUAGAGGUAGGUAAAGUAUGAUUAUAUUCCAACCCGGGGAAGUGUGGGAGGAAUUCUCAUUCUUACGGAUGACAGAAAAUUGGAGAGUGUGGAGGUUAUCAAAGGGGAAUAUAUGUUAGGGGUGCGGUUUAAAAACAUUAACAAUGGCAUGGAGUGGGGUUUCGGGGGAAUCUACGAACCGAUGGGGGAGGGGUCUAAGGAGGCUUUUUAGGAGGAAUUAGGAGUUAGGAUAGAGAGGUGGGAUAUACCUUGGGUUUUAGGGGGGGAUUUUAAUACCAUUAGAUUUCCAGAGGAGAGGUUGGGGUAUAACGUGGUGUCUAGGGCCAUGGAGGAGUUCUCAGAGUCCAUUGACAAUUUUUUUCUUAUUGAUUUGCCUUUAUCCGGUGCCUCUUUCACUUGGCCCAGGCCAGAUGAUUCCUCUAGAUCGAGACUAGACAGAGUUCUUGUGUCCACUUCUUGGGAGGAAUUGAAUCCCAAUGUGAUAUAGUUUUCUCUCUCGCGAUUGCUAUCCGACCAUUCACCUAUCAUGUUGGAUGGAAGCAGAGAAGGGCAAAUGAGAUCUCCUAUCAAACUUGAAAACAUGUGGUUAAGUGUGUCGGAUUUUAGGGAGAGAGUGGUUGGUUGAUGGAGUUGUGCAGUGGAGGGGAGGCCUUCUUAUAGGCUUGCUAGAAAAUUGAAAUUGCUCAAAAAAGACAUGAGUGUGGAAUAAAGAAGUGUUUGGAAGGGGGGGGGGCAAAAUCAAGGGCAUUGUGGUUGGAGGAAGGGGAUUCGAACACUAAAUUUUUUCAUAGGACAACAAUCUAAAAUAGGAGAAGGAACUUCAUUGAGUUGGUCGAGGUAAAUGGGGUGGUGCAUGUGGGGAGGAGGAAGUAGAAGGGACAGUUGUAGAGUAUUACAAUCAUUUGUUCAAAGAGGAAGCAAUUUGGUCCUAAUUUGGGGGGUUUAGAGUUUUGUCACAUUGGUGGCGAGAAGUGUAUGUGGCUAAAGAGGAAGUGAAAAAAGCAAUAGAAUGUUGUAAGGGUGACAAAUCUUUGGGGCCUGAUGGUUUCUCUUUGGCUUUUUUCCAGCAUAGCUAGAGCACGGUAAAAACUGAGGUGAUGGAUACUAUUGCGAAGUUUCAAGAAAGAGGGAAUUUUGAAAUAGUUUGAAUGUUUCGUUCAUCGUCAUCAUCCCUAAGCGGGAGGGAGCCUCAAACAUUUAAGACUAUAGACCUAUUAGUCUAGUGGGAAGCAUCUAUAAGAUCAUCUCUAAGGUGUUGUCCAUUAGACUUAAGAAAGUGUUGGAUGAGACAGUAUCUACCUCGCAGAAUGCCUUAGUGGAGGGCAGACAAAUUUUGAAUGCAGCUUUGGUGGAAAACGAAGUGGUGGAUACGAGGAGAAAGCAAGGUGAGUCAGGUGUACCAUGCAAGCUGAUCUUGAAAAGGCCUAUGAUCAUGUGAAUUGGAAUUUCCUAGAUGCCAUUAUGCUACAAAUGGGAUUUGGGAAAAAAUGGAGAAAAUGGAUUAAAUUUUGCAUCUCCUCAGUGAGAUAUUCCACUUUCUCAUUUGAGGAAUAGCCUGCACCCAUAGAAUUCCAAUUUGUCUGAGAGAUGGGUGGAGUUUGUAGAGAAUCAUUUAUUAUUGUAGAUUCUUUACUUUUUUUGUAUCCCCUUGUAUACGGCCAACUGCGUGCCACGUAUGAAUGAAAAUACGUUUACCUGAUUUUAAAAAAAAAAAAAAAGUGCCUCCCUAUAUCAAACCUGGCACAUAUGCAUGAGUUUACAAAAAACCCUUUAUAUCAUAGUCAAAUAUGCUAAUAUUCCCAUUCCACAUGGGUCUUUACAGGUCCUCAAUUAGGUUUAUAGUAUAUGUUUUGCUUUGUUUUUCUAAAAUUGGAGCUACACAGGUGGCUUUUAAACAACUUUAUUGAAUUUAUGAGUAGGGCGGGGAUGGGAUGAGGUUGCCAACUCCAUUCCACUAACGUUUUUGAGAUUGCAUUCGAGAAACCACGUUGCAUGAAUCAUACAUCUGCAACUCAUAAAGCAGAGCUUGGUAAUUCUUUGACUACUACAGUUUCGCUAGCGUGACAUCUACUUUUACAAGGAUAUGAACAUAGUUCUUUAAAUUCCAUUGUGAAAGCACCUUGAUCCAACACAAUGAUCAUAUCUACAUCACAUGGCAAGCCAUGAGAGUGAUUUUGACCUGAGGCAACUGGGAAGGAAGGGGGGAGAGAGAGAUGGAUGACCUCAGAAAAUUCUCUGCCUACUACAGUGAAGUAAGAAAUAGCAUUUGCUUUUACAAGGAUAUGAAAAGAGUUCUUUAAAUUCCACUCUAAAAGAACAUCAACCAGAGUCACAUGGCAAGCCAAGAGAGUGAUUUUGACCUAGAUGCAACUGGGAAAAGAAAGAGGGGGAAUGGAUAGAAAUGCUCAGGCGAUUCUCUGCCUACCACAAUGAAGCUAGAAAGGACGUCUACUUUUACAAGGAUAUGAAAACAGUUCUUUAAAUCCCACUGUAGAAACACCACGACCAUAUCUAUGCCACAUGGCCAACCAUGAGAGUGAUUGUGAUGACAGACAGAUAGAUAGAUAGAGUGAGACUUACCAUCAUUCCCAACCAUGACGCCAGCAUGUAUUCCCAAAUUGAAACUGGUGUCACUGAUAACAGGUAGUUCAGCAUAUUGAACGGAAGCAGAGGAACGAGUCGGAGCAGCAAAACAAUCUGUCCAGUCAUAGCAAAGGAAUGUGCAGGGUUACUUCUGCUCUUUUUGGAAAUUAUUAUCCAUAUUACAGACACACUUCUAAGCCAAAAUGAAAAUUUGAAGAUGACAUCAUUAUCAAAAGGACCUUCGCAGGCCUUUCAUGAAAGACAUAUGAACCUUAAAGCCAGAUUUCCGAAUUGCAAUUGCAACUGCACGAAACUGUGGAUAAUCUUUCAACUUGGAAAUGACAAAUGACCUCCCAAUCUGUCAAGAUGUGAGUGAAAGAAAAACAAUUAAUGAAAAUAAUCAGUUCAGAAAACAAACCUUUUAGGGGUAUGGCACAAGAAUACAUAAACAGAAAGGAAAAUGAAGGGAAAAGCAACAAAAAUUAUGCCCUAUCCACACACAGUUUGCACAUGCAAGCCCAUAUUCUGAAGAAAAAGUCGUUCAAAAAUGACAAAUCUGCAGCCUAGUACCUAGGGUAGUCCAGUUUUUGUAAUAUAACUAGAGUAACAAUCAGAGCUCUGGGAAAUGGACUAUGGAAGUAAUCAUGCUGUUCUAACUUCUAACUUUUAAGCAAUAAUUCAAGUGAAAUACAUUUUUAACUGCUCAACAAAGUAUCCCUCUCUAGAAUAAAAUAACUUACUGUUCUACCAAGAAGAAAUGCUGCGGCAGCACCAAUGGUAGCACCAAUAGAAUCAGCAACAAAACCCACAGGCAAGCCGAAUAGAUAACCACCACCUAGCUGAAAACAGGACCAUGCAGAGUUCAAAUUCAAUCAUAACUCCUAGAUUCAUUAAAUUAUUACUUUGUACUUAGUCAAGUAUCAUUCAUAACUAAGUCCAUGCUCCAUGAGCAGCAGAGACAGACUGGUAAAGACGUGCUAUAAAAGAAUUUAGAACGGCUGUUAUAAAAAAAUGAGGGUUAGGAAUUAGGAGGGGUGACAUGACUUCAACAGAAAAUGCCAUAAGUUUUACCGUAAGAACUGACGCUGGAACUGCCAAUACUGUUAGAGGAAUGUAUGCAACAGCCCUGCAAGACACAGAAAACAACAUGACCAAAAGCAACAACAACAACAACAAGCCCAGUGUAUUCCCACACAGUGGGGUCUAGGGAGGGUAAAAUGUAUGCAGUCCAUACCGCUACCCCCGAAGAAGUAAAGAGGUUGUUUCCGAUAGAACCCCGGCUCAAGAUAAAUAUAUAUAAAAAAAAAAAAUAGUAAACAAAAGUCGUAAUGAAACAUGAAGCAGGAUGGGUGGCUUAACAGAAGUAAAGAAUCAGAAAUAGUAAAAUAGAACUUAGAGCAAUACAGGAUAGGGGAACUAAGAGCCAUAAGCUAUAAGCUAUAACAAAUAAGAAAAACGAAAUCUAGAAUUGGGUAUCCGCUAGUAGUAACCAACACUCACAGACCAAAGCCACCCACCACACCCAGUCUCUCCUGACUAACGGCUCCUACCUAUCGACACAGUCCUACGAUUACUACCCCAACUAAACAGGGACUCUCCUAAUUACUUGCUACAACCCAUGUACUCAUCCUAGCCUUCUACUCUUAUCCGCGACCUCCACACCUUCCUAUCUAGGGUCAUGUCCUCGAUAAGCUGAAGCUGCUCCAUGUCAUGUCUAAUCACUCCCCUCCAGUAUUUCUUCAGCCUCCCUCUACUCCUCCUGAAGCCAUCCAAGGCUAGCCUCUCACACCUGCGAAUUGGGGCAUCCGUGCCCCUCCUCAUCACAUGCCCAAACCAUCUCAGACUUCCUUCCCGCAUCUUGUCCUCCACCGAAGCCACUCCCACCUUCUCCCGAACAAUCUCAUUCCUAACUCUAUCCCUUCUUGUAAGCCCACACAUCCAGCGCAAUAUUCUCAUUUCCGCCACCUUCAAUUUUUGAAUAUGGGAGUUCUUGACAGGCCAACACUCCGCUCCAUACAACAUGGCUGGACGAACUGCCACUCUAUAGAAUUUGUCUUUAAGCCUAAGGGGAACCUUCUUAUCACACAACACUCCAGAGGCGAGCCUUCACUUUAUCCAACUAGCUCCAAUACGAUUAGAGACAUCCUCNNNNNNNNNNNNNNNNNNNNNNNNNNNNNNNNNNNNNNNNNNNNNNNNNNNNNNNNNNNNNNNNNNNNNNNNNNNNNNNNNNNNNNNNNNNNNNNNNNNNNNNNNNNNNNNNNNNNNNNNNNNNNNNNNNNNNNNNNNNNNNNNNNNNNNNNNNNNNNNNNNNNNNNNNNNNNNNNNNNNNNNNNNNNNNNNNNNNNNNNNNNNNNNNNNNNNNNNNNNNNNNNNNNNNNNNNNNNNNNNNNNNNNNNNNNNCCUUAAGUCACUAAACUUGCACUCCAAAUACUCCGUCUUGGACCUACUCAACCUGAACCCCUUAGAUUUUAGGGUUUGCCUCCAUACCUCCAAUUUUUCAUUCACACCCCCCACGUCUCAUCAAUCAGCACUACAUCAUCAGCAAAUAACAUACACCAAGACACUUCACCUUGAAUACUCCGCUUCAACACGUCCAUCACCAGCGC